Molecule: long non-coding RNA, 63303 nt
Filed under: Lactuca sativa (garden lettuce)
Lineage: Eukaryota; Viridiplantae; Streptophyta; Magnoliopsida; Asterales; Asteraceae
Description: long non-coding RNA (LSAT_LNC005555)
Source: RNAcentral
AUUAAAUGUUUCGACGUUAUCAUCGGUAUGGAUUGGUUGAGUCUUCUUCGUGCCGACAUUAUGUGCUUCGAAAAAGCAGUUCGUCUUAACCUUCCUAACAACGAAACUUUAAUUAUCUACGGCGACAAACCUAGUACGAGCCUUCGCAUCAUUUCGUGCAUUCAAGCCCAUAAGUGCUUGCGAAAGGAAUAUCAUGCAUUCCUCGCACACGUCUUUGAUAUCAGUCAAGAACUGAAAGACAUCCAGAACAUCCCAGAAGUACGCGACUUUCCCGACAUCUUCCCAGAAGAACUUCUCGGUUUACCACUGCAACGCCAAGUCGAGUGCAAAAUAGACUUAGUGCCAGGAGCUACCCCAGUAGCCAAAUCUCCUUAUCGUCUGGCACCGGCCGAGAUGUAGGAACUUUCCAGUCAACUUAACGAACUUCUCAAGAAGGGAUUCAUUCGACCAAGCUUCUCACCAUGGGGAGCACCGGUCUUGUUCAUCAAGAAGAAGGAUGGAUCGUUUCGCAUGUGCAUCGACUAUAGAGAACUCAACAAACUUACCAUUAAAAAUCGUUAUCCCUUGCCCCGCAUUGACGAUUUAUUUGAUCAACUUCAAGGAGCCAACUACUUCUCGAAGAUAGAUCUGCGAUCCGGAUAUCACCAACUACGAGUGUUAGAGGAGGAUGUUCCCAAGACAGCCUUCCGAACUCGUUAUGGGCACUACGAGUUUGUAGUGAUGCCAUUCGGAUUAACUAACGCGCCCGCAGUAUUCAUGGAUCUGAUGAAUAGGGUGUGUCGUCCUUACUUGGAUCAGUUCGUCAUCAUCUUCAUUGAUGACAUACUGGUCUACUCUCGAAGUAAGGAGGAACAUAGCCAACAUCUCCGUAAAAUCUUAGAAACAUUGCGAUCGGAGAAGCUCUAUGUGAAGUUCUCCAAGUGCGAAUUUUGGAUUCGGUAAGUCGAAUUUUUGGGACAUGUUGUUAGCGAAGAAGGAAUACACGUGGACCCUUCCAAAAUUAAGGCCAUCGAGAACUGGACAGCACUGAAGACACCUACAAAAAUUCGUCAAUUUCUAGGUCUGGCUGGCUACUAUCGCAGGUUCAUUCACAACUUCUCCCGCAUAGCAAAACCUCUUACAACACUGACACAGAAGGACGUAGCCUUUGACUGGGAAGAGAAACAAGAAAGAGCGUUCCAAAUGCUCAAGAGAGCCUUGUGCACCGCACCAAUAUUGUCCCUCCCCGAAGGGAUAGAAGACUUCGUGGUCUAUUGCGACGCAUCAAAUCAAGGANGCACUGAAGACACCUACAAAAAUUCGUCAAUUACUAGGUCUGGCUGGCUACUAUCGCAGGUUCAUUCACAACUUCUCCCGCAUAGCAAAACCUCUUACAACACUGACACAGAAGGACGUAGCCUUUGACUGGGAAGAGAAACAAGAAAGAGCGUUCCAAAUGCUCAAGAGAGCCUUGUGCACCGCACCAAUAUUGUCCCUCCCCGAAGGGAUAGAAGACUUCGUGGUCUAUUGCGACGCAUCAAAUCAAGGACUCGGAUGUGUUCUGAUGCAGCGAGGUAAAGUCAUAGCCUAUGCCUCGAGACAGCUGAAGACACAUGAGGUUAACUACACCACCCACGAUCUUGAGCUAGGAGCAGUUGUGUUUGCUCUGAAGAUCUGGCGACAUUACCUGUACGGUACAAAAAGCACGAUCUUUACAGACCAUAAGAGUCUACAACACAUUUUCGACCAGAAAGAGCUCAACAUGAGACAACGACGGUGGGUCGAGCUACUUAGUGAUUACGAAUGCGAAAUUCGUUAUCAUCCGGGUAAAGCCAAUGUAGUAGCCGACGCCCUAAGUCGGAAAGAAUAUUCUGGUCGUAGGGUCAAAUCUUUGACUCUAACUAUCCAUUCACACUUGUCCACGCAAAUAAAGGAGGCUCAGCUCGAUGCUUUGAAACCUGAAAACAUGGCUAGUUAAUCCCUUAGAGGGAUGGAUAAGAACUUGGAAGUCAAGGGUGGCAAAGCCUUGUACCUCAUGGAUCGGAUCUAGAUACUGAAACACGGUGGCUUCAGAGACUUGGUCAUGACGGAAGCUCACAACAAUUGUUAUUCCGUCCACCCGGGUUCUAGAUAAGAUGUAUCUGGAUCUUAAAAAGUUUUACUGGUGGCCUAACAUGAAAGCAGAUAUUGCUACCUUCGUAAGUAAGUGCCUUACUUGCGUGAAGGUGAAGGUCCAAUACCAGAAACCCUCCGGUCUUCUACAACAACCGGAGAUACCAGAAUGGAAGUGGGAGCGGAUCACUAUGGACUUCAUAACCAAGUUGCCCAAGACGACGGGUGGACUUGAUUCCAUAUGGGUCAUCGUCGAUAGACUGACCAAGUCUGCACACUUCCUACCGAUCAAAGAAACAGACAAGAUGGAGAAACUUACCAGAACUUACAUUAGGGAGAUUGUAAGGCUGCACGGUGUUCCUUUAUCUAUCAUCUCAGACCGAGAUAGUAGAUUCACUUCGAGGUUCUGGCAGUCAUUACAAAGUUCCCUAGGAACUAGGCUGGACAUGAGUACAGCCUACCAUCCACAGACGGACGGGCAAAGUGAGAGAACUAUCCAAACCUUAGAAGAUAUGUUGCGUGCCUGUGUGAUUGACUUUGGAAAAGCUUGGGAUACCCAUUUACCCCUUGUCGAAUUUUCCUACAACAACAGUUAUCACACGAGCAUAAAGGCAGCUCCAUUCGAGGCCCUCUAUGGCCGAAAGUGCAGAUCCCCUCUGUGCUGGGCUGAAGUGGGUGAUACCCAGUUAGCUAAGGGACGAGUUCCCGAAAGCACUCUCAAGGGUCCGGAGAUCAUUCGGGAAACCACAGAGAAGAUCGUUCAAAUUCGUGAACGAUUGAAAGCCUCUAGAGACCGACAGAAAAGCUACGCUGACUAAAGAAGGAAACCGUUGGAAUUCCAGGUGGGCGACCGAUUACUACUGAAGGUCUCACCCUGGAAGGGCUUGAUACGCUUUAGAAAGCGUAGGAAUCUCAAUCCAAGAUACAUAGGGCCUUUCGAGAUUCUCGCGUGAAUCGACCCUGUAGCUUACAAACUCAAUCUACCGCACGAACUCAGUAACGUACAUCCUGCCUUCCACGUCUCAAACUUGAAAAAGUGUCUGUCCGACGAGACUCUUGUUAUUCCACUCGACGAGAUCGAGAUCAACGAGAGCCUCAACUUCGUGGAGGAACCAGUAGAGAUCAUGGACCGAGAGGUCAAGCAAACCAAGCAGAGUCGUAUCCCGAUAGUGAAGGUGCGCUGGAAUGCAACGUGUGGACCGGAAUUCACUUGGGAACGAGAGGACCAGAUGAAACUUAAAUACCCUCACCUUUUCGCUUAGUUAUUUGUAACUUCUAAAUUGCUUAAAUUCUAAUUUUGGGAUGAAAUUCCUUCUAACGGGGGAUGAUGUGACAACCCAAAAUUUCCAUUUUGUACAAACAAUAUCACUUCAAUAGAAGUUAUAGCAGUCACAGUUAAUUUUCAGACUUUUUCGUGUAAGUUUUAGUAAUUCAGGGUUUAGACUUUAGGAGAUAUCAGGAGAGUGGAUGCACUAGGGUUUAGUGCAACUCUAUUAUUCCAUCACUCUAUUAUAUUAGAGAUCAUUUCAGGAUUAAAAAUACUUUCUGCCAAAAAUAUCUCAGGACUAUAUAUAGAAUUCUGAACCAAAUUCAUUCAUUAGUCGCAUUUCCAACUAGAGAAAAGCCAUUUUCUCUCUCACGGAUCUUCGGGUUUUUAUACCAAAACGUGAGUAACUCUUUCUAGUAGUGUUAGAAAGCUUAAUAUGUGUUUAUAACAUGAUUUAGAAGGCUAAAUCACUAGAUUUAGGAGUUUACUCCCCAAGGUGUUCUUGGGCNUGUAACAACCCGUUAUUUCCGGGCAUUAUAUAUCGAGUCUUGUAACCUCUUUGGAAUGUAAUAGGAAUAUCAUCGAUAAAUGAAUUAUUCAAAAGCUCUGAUUGGAGUACACUAUGUAGUAGAUAUCGUCUUAAGGUUUCCAAAUAUAUAAAGAACACUAAAAUCCGAGUUAUGACGAAGUAGUUAUGACCAUUCUAAGAUUUCCGACAAAACCGACAACACCGAUUAAACGGAAAACGCAAAGUUUCAAUAUGAUAGCAUUUAGCCUUAGGUAUCUAAAUGAAAGUUAUAGAUAACAUUAAACCGUGAGCGUACACAAAAAGAACGUCCAAAUCUGACUUCGUAUGAGGAAGUUAUGAUUUUUCCAAGAUNNNNNNNNNNNNNNNNNNNNNNNNNNNNNNNNNNNNNNNNNNNNNNNNNNNNNNNNNNNNNNNNNNNNNNNNNNNNNNNNNNNNNNNNNNNNNNNNNNNNNNNNNNNNNNNNNNNNNNNNNNNNNNNNNNNNNNNNNNNNNNNNNNNNNNNNNNNNNNNNNNNNNNNNNNNNNNNNNNNNNNNNNNNNNNNNNNNNNNNNNNNNNNNNNNNNNNNNNNNNNNNNNNNNNNNNNNNNNNNNNNNNNNNNNNNNNNNNNNNNNNNNNNNNNNNNNNNNNNNNNNNNNNNNNNNNNNNNNNNNNNNNNNNNNNNNNNNNNNNNNNNNNNNNNNNNNNNNNNNNNNNNNNNNNNNNNNNNNNNNNNNNNNNNNNNNNNNNNNNNNNNNNNNNNNNNNNNNNNNNNNNNNNNNNNNNNNNNNNNNNNNNNNNNNNNNNNNNNNNNNNNNNNNNNNNNNNNNNNNNNNNNNNNNNNNNNNNNNNNNNNNNNNNNNNNNNNNNNNNNNNNNNNNNNNNNNNNNNNNNNNNNNNNNNNNNNNNNNNNNNNNNNNNNNNNNNNNNNNNNNNNNNNNNNNNNNNNNNNNNNNNNNNNNNNNNNNNNNNNNNNNNNNNNNNNNNNNNNNNNNNNNNNNNNNNNNNNNNNNNNNNNNNNNNNNNNNNNNNNNNNNNNNNNNNNNNNNNNNNNNNNNNNNNNNNNNNNNNNNNNNNNNNNNNNNNNNNNNNNNNNNNNNNNNNNNNNNNNNNNNNNNNNNNNNNNNNNNNNNNNNNNNNNNNNNNNNNNNNNNNNNNNNNNNNNNNNNNNNNNNNNNNNNNNNNNNNNNNNNNNNNNNNNNNNNNNNNNNNNNNNNNNNNNNNNNNNNNNNNNNNNNNNNNNNNNNNNNNNNNNNNNNNNNNNNNNNNNNNNNNNNNNNNNNNNNNNNNNNNNNNNNNNNNNNNNNNNNNNNNNNNNNNNNNNNNNNNNNNNNNNNNNNNNNNNNNNNNNNNNNNNNNNNNNNNNNNNNNNNNNNNNNNNNNNNNNNNNNNNNNNNNNNNNNNNNNNNNNNNNNNNNNNNNNNNNNNNNNNNNNNNNNNNNNNNNNNNNNNNNNNNNNNNNNNNNNNNNNNNNNNNNNNNNNNNNNNNNNNNNNNNNNNNNNNNNNNNNNNNNNNNNNNNNNNNNNNNNNNNNNNNNNNNNNNNNNNNNNNNNNNNNNNNNNNNNNNNNNNNNNNNNNNNNNNNNNNNNNNNNNNNNNNNNNNNNNNNNNNNNNNNNNNNNNNNNNNNNNNNNNNNNNNNNNNNNNNNNNNNNNNNNNNNNNNNNNNNNNNNNNNNNNNNNNNNNNNNNNNNNNNNNNNNNNNNNNNNNNNNNNNNNNNNNNNNNNNNNNNNNNNNNNNNNNNNNNNNNNNNNNNNNNNNNNNNNNNNNNNNNNNNNNNNNNNNNNNNNNNNNNNNNNNNNNNNNNNNNNNNNNNNNNNNNNNNNNNNNNNNNNNNNNNNNNNNNNNNNNNNNNNNNNNNNNNNNNNNNNNNNNNNNNNNNNNNNNNNNNNNNNNNNNNNNNNNNNNNNNNNNNNNNNNNNNNNNNNNNNNNNNNNNNNNNNNNNNNNNNNNNNNNNNNNNNNNNNNNNNNNNNNNNNNNNNNNNNNNNNNNNNNNNNNNNNNNNNNNNNNNNNNNNNNNNNNNNNNNNNNNNNNNNNNNNNNNNNNNNNNNNNNNNNNNNNNNNNNNNNNNNNNNNNNNNNNNNNNNNNNNNNNNNNNNNNNNNNNNNNNNNNNNNNNNNNNNNNNNNNNNNNNNNNNNNNNNNNNNNNNNNNNNNNNNNNNNNNNNNNNNNNNNNNNNNNNNNNNNNNNNNNNNNNNNNNNNNNNNNNNNNNNNNNNNNNNNNNNNNNNNNNNNNNNNNNNNNNNNNNNNNNNNNNNNNNNNNNNNNNNNNNNNNNNNNNNNNNNNNNNNNNNNNNNNNNNNNNNNNNNNNNNNNNNNNNNNNNNNNNNNNNNNNNNNNNNNNNNNNNNNNNNNNNNNNNNNNNNNNNNNNNNNNNNNNNNNNNNNNNNNNNNNNNNNNNNNNNNNNNNNNNNNNNNNNNNNNNNNNNNNNNNNNNNNNNNNNNNNNNNNNNNNNNNNNNNNNNNNNNNNNNNNNNNNNNNNNNNNNNNNNNNNNNNNNNNNNNNNNNNNNNNNNNNNNNNNNNNNNNNNNNNNNNNNNNNNNNNNNNNNNNNNNNNNNNNNNNNNNNNNNNNNNNNNNNNNNNNNNNNNNNNNNNNNNNNNNNNNNNNNNNNNNNNNNNNNNNNNNNNNNNNNNNNNNNNNNNNNNNNNNNNNNNNNNNNNNNNNNNNNNNNNNNNNNNNNNNNNNNNNNNNNNNNNNNNNNNNNNNNNNNNNNNNNNNNNNNNNNNNNNNNNNNNNNNNNNNNNNNNNNNNNNNNNNNNNNNNNNNNNNUGUGUGUGUGUGUGUUAGGGACAAGAAAAAAACCAAGAAACACCAAAAUAUGGGUGUUCACGGCCCAAGAUGAUCUUGGACCGUGAACUCCAAAAUCAUGGACAAAAGGUUGCUUUUAAGGCACCUAAGGCCUUAGACAUUUACUUGGAAUUGUUUCCACUUAAAUCAAGGACUAAAACACAUCAAAAACCCAUCUUUUUAGGAGAUUACGGACCUAAUAAGCUCUUGGGCCGUAAACAUGAAAGAAGGGCGCCAAAGUGUGCCUAAUGCCUUUAUAUGCUUUAGGUAAAAGUCUAGAACCUAUCCUACAUAUGCAAGAGACAUGAAAGCAUCAAAAACACCUUUCCUUAAGAGUUUACGACUGCAAACUCUAAAGGAAAUGGCCUUAGGGCCGUAAACUUCUCAAAGGAGUGUUUCUAUGCCUUAAAGCCUUCCAAGAAUUAAACCACCAAGUUGGAAUAAUUCUAGGGAUCAUUUAGAACUUCAAAACACAAAAUACCACCAAGCUUGGGAGUUUACGGCCGUAAACUCAAGAGUUUACAACCGAAACUCCAUGAGUGAGGAUAUAUGGAGAGUAAACUCAUGUAUAGGGUCCUUUAGAACCCUAAACCCAAGUGCCUUGUCCCACAAUAACUUAGAUGCGAUCCUUAGGGCUUACAACACUUAUAUAAAGUGUUUACUAUGUUCUAGGAUGUCUUAACAUUAUCAAUUAGUAAUUUAAGACUAAUUGAGUGCAUAUAUGUGUGAUUAUAUGUUCAUUAGGAUCGUAGUGUGUGUACAAGUCCUCACUUGACACUUAAUAAUCCUACACCGUCCAGUUCUUCCAAACCACCAUCUACAAGUGAGUUCAUACCCCUAAUCAAUGUUUUAAAUGAUUUUAAAUGCUCUAAUGGGGGGGAAUACAAGUAGAAAAUAGCAUGUUAUUAAAUAAUCAUUAUGUAUUUCAUAACUGUGUUUUCAUUCUACAGAUUUCACAUACUACAAAAUGUGAUGCAUGAAAUGGUUUUCUACCUUUAAAAUACUUUGUUAUCAAACGUAUUACUUUUGAAAUGUUUAUCAAAAUGACAUCAAGUCACUUUUAUAUUUGUUCAAAACCCUUAGAUGUCUUACAAAACCAUUUACAUUCUUGAACUAAACUAUGCAUAUACACUUAUAUUCUUAUAUAUGUAUUGAUGUUAUAGUUUUCAUCUUUCAUUUAGUUUCCCACACUCUUAUGUAGCAAGGGUGUAUAAACCUACUUGAACAACCAAUUACCUUUCAGUUAACUAUCAUAGGGAUAGUUAGAAGAUAACAAACAUUAUUCCUAUUACAAGGAAUCACACAAGAGUCAGUUCAUUCAUGAGUCUAUACCAGUACAUUACAUAAUACAUGAGUAUAUUUAUCUAGGAUUACAUGAUACAUAAGUACGUUUUCAUAGAUACAUUUAUUUGAAUACGCUUACAUGAAUACCAUACAUGAGUACUAUUACAUAGAUACAUUAUCCUGUAUUCACUUACCUGGAUACUUGUACCUAGAGUUAUGAGGAAGAUUUAUUCGUACCUUCUAUGUAAAUUUUCCUGCCUAUCCCUGUUCGACGGGAUGUCUAGACGCGACUAACCAUUCUGGAACCCAACUGUUAGCACCACUGGGUGAUGAACAUCUAUGGAUGUCUAAGGUUAUCACUUAUAAUAGAUAGAUUGAUAUCGGAACUAACCAUUCCUCCAUCCUGCUGUUGCAACAGAGGAUGGGAUGAAAAUCUACGGAUGAUCAUUAGGUUACCACUUAUAUUAGGAGUCGGCUACGGGAAUUACCCUUCCUCAAACCUGCUGCUACUACAGAGGACAACUGGACCAUCUUCGGAGGUUCAUUAGGUUAUACAUAUCGCUUACUGCAAUGGCGUGUUAGUCCGGGUAUCCAGGGAUAACAUUUACAUGGUUAUAUUUUUCCGAUUUACUUAAUUUUGUGAUAGAUUCACAUAAACGAUGAUUUAGACUAAUUACUGUUUGUAGUAGUCAAAAAGAAGGAAAAACUAUCAUUUUACUUACAAAACAUUCGGGUCUUGGUAGAAGACUACAUUAUCAUAACAAAACAUUUGGGUCUUCGUAGAAGACUACAUUAUCAUAACAAAACAUUGGGGUCAUGGUAGAAGACUACAUUGUCAUAAAAAAACAUUCGGGUCUUCGUAGAAGACUACAUUGUCAUAACAAAACAUUCGGGUCUUGGUAGAAGACUACAUUUCAUACUAGUAGGAAAUAUGGGAUUUCUUAGGGUUUUUCAUACUUAUAUCAACUGUCUUACUUAAAGGUUUUACAUGACAUUCAUAACAGCUUUUCAAAGCAAGACAAUGACACUUAAAUACUUAUGAACUCACCAGCUUUAAAGCUAAUACUCUCUUUCAAAAUAACUUGUAUUCUCAGGUCAUCAGUAGACAGGUACGGUGGCCAGGUUUUGAGAAGACGGAAUAGACAAGGCUCGUCUUUUAUUUUGAUUAUAUAUUUGUGGUGUCUUAUUACAAUGAAAGAACACACACGUAUUAAAACUUUACUUAUAAUGCAAUGGAUGAUGUUGUUGCUUGUUUACUAUUUUACACUGUUGUGAUACUAUACAUGACGUCCUCCACCCCGGAACGUUUCUGUCGUUCUUGGUUUUGGGGUGUGACAUAUCACUACAGACUCGAAAUGACUGCAUCGAGUUUGGAAGGUAGUCUUCCGGACAUCCUUGCCUCACAAUCAAACUGGUGAUAUUCGGAUCUCAGGUCCAUUUAUGAAUGUAAUUCUUUCCUUGCUUUUUCUCAACCAAUUCAUCUAUGCGAGACAGAGGCAAAGAUUUCUAAUGGAAAAAUCUGGGCGGGGUCCUCGAUAGCCUAGGUACAAACGAUGCAAUCCGUCGACCUCUGGAAGAAUAAGACCGGAGUUCUCCAGGGUGAGAAGCCUAGUCUUCCAAUUCUAUAUCUGUGCAGUUUGCUAAGUUGUCCGGACUGUUCUUGUAUAUUUGUAGUUGUUUAGACAGUAGGGCGAUCUGUUAACAAGAAUCAUAUUGGGUUCUAAGUUUGUUCACAUGACGAUGCGAUUACUCGUAGGCUUGGGCAGUUCUCCAUCCUGAAGUUCAUAUUAGAAUUCAUACAUGGUUUCACAAUCACAAUCUCGUGUAUACGAGUUGUAUAUAAUUAUGAUUGAAAAGGUAGUCGAAUAACUGACUCUUCUUUAAGCUCACAUCCCAUUGAGGAAAAAGAAGUUAAAGUGGAAUCAUCAACUCUAAACCUAUAGAACCUUGAUUAUAUAUCACUCUUAUGUAUAUAUUCCUCAGUGAUAGAUCAACCGCAUGAAUCCUUGGAUUAAACUUGACGUACUGCACGAGUGAUACUCCAUGCAUGAGUACUUCGGUGUUUUGGAAUGACGGCUUCGCUAAAAAGACGUUUACUGAUAAAGAGAUGUACGUAUGAAGCUGUUUUUUUAGUGAGGACCAAAUUGAAUCGAGUCGUAUGAUAAUGUCGGAAUAAUACGGAAACUUAAAGACAUUAGAUUUGAACAUAAGACGUUUAUAGACAAAACACAACCGUGCAACCAUCAACAUAGUUACAAUACUUUAGACUUACUACAAGACCAUUUCUGAGAAUGAGGUAUACUACAAAAAAAAAAAGUAUACGCAACACGAGCAUCCCUAUACUGACAGGAUCUCGCAAAAAUGUAAGACUCUAGUUGCACUAGUUCUGGAUAGUUUAUAAGUCUGUUACAACGAAAAGCCUAAAUUACAUUAACGCGGUUCCGGAGCAGGUUCUCCUGCAGUUGUGAUCCUGAGAAUCUUCCCAUAUGCGCCAGAGUUCUUUGCUAUACGACAAUCCUUCUUGACGUGCCCUAUCUCACUGCAUUUGUGGCAUGACUAGCUAGUACUAGUUUUGGUGGCGGGAGUGCGGUGUUUAGCCAGUGUUAUGUGGACACGAGUGCCUUCCUCAUUACUCCACCUUGGAAAUUGCUUCCUAAAGCGUUCUGCAGGAGCUGCCACUUGUGGCUGGGGCAUGGCAAGUCUUUGGGAUCUCUUUCGCUCCUUUUGGGCUUGACGAUAUCGUCUCUUCUUUUCAAUCUUACGGUUUUGCAAGUCCAUGACUGUUGCCAUUUUUUGUUUUCCCGGUUUGGUACUACCAUCGGAACUCUCGACUCCUUCGUCAGUCUUGCUNGGCUGGGGCAUGGCAAGUCUUUGGGAUCUCUUUCGCUCCUUUUGGGCUUGACGAUAUCGUCUCUUCUUUUCAAUCUUACGGUUUUGCAAGUCCAUGACUGUUGCCAUUUUUUGUUUUCCCGGUUUGGUACUACCAUCGGAACUCUCGACUCCUUCGUCAGUCUUGCUUGUGUUGCCCGAGUUGAUGUGUGUAAGGAAAGUUGUCACAGCAGCUGCUACUGUAGCUUGUAAUGUAGUGGCGUCGAUAUGGAGGAUAGGGGUUUCGUUGCUCGGCCGAUUGUUUCUGGAUGACGACAUUAUUCUGUUAACACGAAAGAUAAGGAUUUUGUGAGCGAUUAUGGUUGACCCUAGAUGUACUUCGAUUGUUCAAGUAAAGAGUAAGAGUAUGUUUUCGACAGCUUGACCUACAUCCCUAGGAUGUAGUCCUAGUACGGAUUGGAGGUAUGGUCGCAAAGGUUUGACCUACAUUUCUAUGAUGCAGUCCUAGUAAUGGGUAGAAGUAAGUUCGUAGAAUGGUCUCAAGACAUUUGUCGUUCAAUCCGAGGUAUCGUUGGUUGCUGAACAACAUGAUCCAACCAUUAAAAUAGACUUGGAAAUGUCUCCGGAGCUAAAUUGAUAUAGUCCAAUGACUUGACUAAAGCAUGUUUCAGGUAUACUCAAAUGAGAGUAUGAUGAGAGUACUUGAAUAAAGAAUGACACAGGAGUUACCCGACUAUCAAUAUCUUUGAUAUUCAUGAUGUACAAGUUUGGGAAAAUGACCUUGUAAAAAGGUCUUACAUCAUACACCACAAAGAUAGUCCUUGACAGCAUAAAGACCUAACCAAAAGUACUGACGAUACAAGAUAAUUUCAUAGAAAAUUCCACAUCGGGCAUAGACAAAAAAACGAUUACUUUUAAAAAGGAAAAUAAAGUAGAGCAUCCACUACUGGCGACGGUCAUCCCUCUCGUGAACUCUCAUUUCAUCCAGUUGAUGCUCCACAUCAAGUAGGUGUCUUUCGUACACCCUCUGGCGUACUUGGAGCUUUAUGACUUCGGCUCAUGAUUCAGCCAGUACUUGCAGCAGGGUUUCAUGGUUUCUCUCAGAUCUCGUACGCGCAUCUUCUAGACGAAUGGUACGGAGGGUAUGCAUUCUUGCAUCUGCGACAACUUCGGUGAUCUGAUGUAGGGCUGUCCUGCCUUGAAUCUCAUUCUGGGCCACUCUGCGGACCAAGAUUGGCAGGAUUCUGUCUGCUAAGCCCCCAUUGCCCAGGUCAUAGAAGCUACGGUCACCAUUAAAUGGCAUGGGUUGAUCUUGCCCUUGGCUCCAUGUUUCCAAGCAUUCCACCCACUCAGGCAUCGGGCCAUGAAAAGUUGGACGAGGGUUAGGAAUUGGAACGGGAUCUGCCUGGGGUAGGUUCUCAACCUUGCGUUCGGAGUUAGCACCGUCUGAAAGGUCUUCAUCAUGGUGAUCAUUCAAAGGGAUAGGAUGAUCAUUAACUAGUUCUUCUCCAAACAAACCAUCAAUGACUUCGUUCGGGAGAUACUGGUUGUCGUGGGAUGGAGUCCAGCCAUGUUAUCUACGCAAGAAUUGGGGUAAGAAAAUAAUUAUUAGACGAACUAUCUAGAUAAUUAUUUAGAAAAUCUUCAUUAGUUACAUCGCUAUCUGUGAAGUGCAUACCAGUUAUAUGUAAUCUAAACAGGACAUGCCUUCGAAUAAAUGACCUUAACUCCAAAUUCACACAGAAUAGGGGUAAAGUAAAAUUUUCACAGAUUCUAAGUCUAUAACAUCCUAAUUACAUAUAUCCUUAGUGUAUCCACUCAGCAACUAUCAACUUAGUAAUGAAGAUCCCGCUUUAGUUCUCAAGUAUAAAGUACUUAUAGUAACACCAAAUACUCCUAUAGCGUUUUAAGUUUAAUGUUACGUUCUACUAUUCUCAUUGUGGUAUUGUUGGUAAUAUUUUAGACUUGUUGCAACCACACAACUACACUUAGGCACAUGCUAGUCAACUCUAGGAUAAUAUAGUUGAUCAGGCUAUAUCUUGUAAGUUUUGACCAUAUGUCUCUAAGUCCACAUGUGUUGCCCAACAAUCGUAAUUCUUUUGUACUGUCCUAGUGACACUGAUUUUAGUAUGAAUACAGGCACGUACACUUAAUUAAAUAUUUUACUAUAUAACAUAUAAACUCUUGGUUAGAGUAUUUUUAAUCCCUAUGAGGAUAAUAUAGUUGAUCAGGCUAUAUCUUGUAAGUUUUGACCAUAUGUCUCUAAGUCCACAUGUGUUGCCCAACAAUCGUAAUUCUUUUGUACUGUCCUAGUGACACUGAUUUUAGUAUGAAUACAGGCACGUACACUUAAUUAAAUAUUUUACUAUAUAACAUAUAAACUCUUGGUUAGAGUAUUUUUAAUCCCUAUGUAUUUAUAGUUAGUAUAUCUUUUAUGGGUUGAUAUACUUAAUUCACUAUAAACAAUGCUCUGAUACCAAUCUGUCACACCCCAAAACCAAGAACGGCGGAAACGUUAUGGAGCGGAGGACGUCCUGUACAGUAUUACAACAAUGAAAAGUAGUAAACAAGCAACAACAUCGUCCAUUGCAUUAAUAAUAUAAUUUUAAUACAAGUUUUCUGUCAAAUUAUAAUAGACACUAAAGUAUAAACAAAAUGAAAGAUGAGUCUUGAACGAGCUCCAUCUUGUCUAAACGUUGCAUCGGUACCUGUCUUUUGUUGACUUGAGGAUACAAGUUAUUUUGAAAGCGAGUAUCAGCUUAAAAGCUGGUGAGAUCAUAAGUAUUAAUGUGUCUUAAUUUGUAUGUGGGUAUUUCUUUGACAUGUAACGAAAGACUUGAAAAUGUUUUGAAACAAAGUUUGUGUAAGUAUGAAAAUGUUUGUAAAACAACUGUAAACGUUUGAAAAACCCUAGGAAUACCUAUGAAUCCUACUAUUAUAAAAGGGAGUCUUCUACCAAGACCUAACUCUUCUAAAUGUAGUGUUCUACCAAGACUUAACUGUUCUAAAUGUAGUCUUCUACCAAGACUUAACUGUGCUAGUAUUAUUAUUAUGAUUAUAAGACAUUGUAUCCUUUGGUACUAGGAUACUGAAAGAUAACUCACCUCAUCAAUUAUGUGAAUGGGUCACAUGAUAAAGCUAAUAAUAUAAAUAACCUAAGUAUUACCCUUUGGUACUAGGGUAGCUAACAAUGUUAACUAGAGACAUCCUUAGAUGUACAUUCACCUAUGUUGCUAAUAGAUGGGUAUAGGAAUAGUUAGUCCCUUAAAGUAUACCUGUAAUGGUAUCAACCGUUGAGAUCCGUGGAUGUGCUUUUACCUCUGUAGCUAACAGAGAUUCUAGGAAUGGUUAAUCCCGCAAGGUAUCCUUUGGUACUAGGAUAUUAAAUCCAAUAUAUCUCGCCGAUUAUGUGAUUGUAUCACAACGUGAAGAUAAUAAUGAGGAUUAUAUAAUAGAAUAUGUACAUAUAAAAUGUACUAUUAAUUCAUCAUAUGUUAUCUAUGUAAACGUACUCAUGUAAAUGUACUCAUGUAAAUGUACUCAUGUAGAUGUAUCUAUGUAAAUGUAAUCAUGUAAAUGUACUCAUGUAGAUGUAUCUAUGUAAAUGUACUCAUGUAAAUGUACUCAUGUAGAUGUAUCUACGUAAAUGUACUCAUGUAAAUGUAAUCAUGUAGAUGUAUCUAUGUAAAUGUACUCAUGUAAAUGUAAUCAUGUAAACAUAUUUAUGUAAUAAUAUAGUAAUAUACUGUGUGUACUAGCUGUGAUGUGUGUUCUCUCUCUAUCUAGCAAGUAUUGACUCAUGAAUGAACUGACUCAUUGUAUGAUAUCGUGUUCUAGUAAUUGUUCUAGUAUCUUCCUAAACUACCCAUACAGUAGCUUACUAGUAAUGUAACUGGCACGUAUGAACAUGGAAGUAUACCCUUCCUACCCAAGGGUAUUGAAUGAACUGGGAAACCUUUAUGACUAUAUAUGUACACAUGAUAUAUAACUAAUAUUUAAACAACCUUCUGACGGAUACCCGAUGUCCCACCAGACCACAUCUCAAGCGCGACAAGGAAAUAGGGUGGAUAGCCUUCCUAAGUCUUUUAAACAUUUAUUAUAUAACUAUACAUAUAUAGGCAUGCAAUUGAUAAUACAAAAUCAUAAAAUAAGUUUUAUUAUCUAAGAAAAUAUCGACUUGAUGUCAAUCUAUAAAAUGGUCUGAAAGCAUGCAUUUGAUAAAACAGUUUAAGUAUAAAGAAACAUUUAUUUGAAACAUAACUGUAAAUUAGUUUGAAAUGAAACAUACAUAGUAAAAUAUACAGUUUAAUAAGUAGUUUUAAACAUCUAAAGCGUUUAUGAAAAACAUUUGAAGGAAACUCUUUGAUAAAACGGCUAAUGAGUAGUAAAUCAUUUGAACGCUGCUUAUUAAUCACAUGUGAUUAAUACAAUAAGUAGCAUGAUUCUACUUGUACCCCCAUCAUAAAGCAUUGAAAAACAUUUAAAAUAUUGAUUAAGGGGUAUGAACUCACCUGUUGCGAGUGGAUCGGAAGGAAGUAUCGGAUAAGUGCUUGGUGUCAAGUGAAGACUUAGACACGCACAAAGAUCCUAAUUACAUUUGAGGACAUAUGUAUAUAAACAAUUAGUCUUUAAACAACUAAUAAACUAGUAAAGACACUCUAGGACAUGACAAACACUUUGUAUAAGUGUUAUAAGUGCUACGGAGUGCAUCUAAGUGUUGUAGAGAAAGGCUAGUGUGUUUGGGGUUCAAGGAACACUCCUAAAAUGAGUUUACUCCCUAAAGACCAACACCCCUUGAGUUUACGGUCAUAAACUCUUGAGUUUACGGUCGUAAACUCCUAACCUUUUGACCAUUUGUUAUUUUGAAGUCUUCUAAGCUAUUCCAAACAUUCCUACUUCAUGUUUAAGACUUAGGAAGUGUUGUGUGGCAUCAAAACACUCCUAAAUGCAGUUUACGGUCUAAGGACCAUUUCUCCAUGAGUUUACUACCUUAAACUCAUAAGUUUGGUAUUUGGGGGUUUUCAAGUCCUUAGCUCAAUCAUGGCAAUAGUCUAGGUUAGAUUUAGACAUAAGGAACAACCAUGGGACAAUUUUGGGACUUUUAUACACCUUUUAGGGUGUUUAUGGUUCUGGGAGAUCCCCAAACCGUAAAAACAUAAAAAUGUAAGGUUUUGGUGCUUUUUGUUUGAUAAACUCAUCAAGAAUGAAUCUAGACAAGUUCCUAAGGCAUUGUGAAGCAUCUAGGCACCAUAACUCACCACUGUGGCCCUAUUCUUGGUGUUUACGGUUUUGGGACCUCCCAAAACCAUGAACACCUUUAUCUUGGUGUUCUUGGGACUUUUCGUUGAUGCUAAUAUGUAAUACAAGCUUAAUAAGACUCAAGGAUUGAAGUACUUACUAUAAGGAAGCUUGAAUUGAGCUAAAAGUCCAAGAACACUUAGUGUGUUUUCUUGGUGUUUUUGGAAAACUAAUCAAAACACAAAAAUGGAUGGAUUAAAGGAUGUACAAUCACUAGAUUAAGUGAUAUACCAACUUGAAAUGGCUAGAUCACUUACAAGUGUGAAGAUCUUGAAUUAAUUCUAGGAUGAUACUUGAGAGGAUUUUUUGAAUUUACUCUUUUGGUAAAUGGGCAGUAAACAUGAAAUGACUAGUUUGGGGAGUAAACUCAAGCUUAUGCAUGAAUUCAUGGUUUUUGGGUGAUUUUUCGACCCAAACAUAAAAGUUUGGCCGUGAACUUCUAAGACACGAGGUGUUUGCGGUUUAGCAAUUUCAAGACCCGAGACGACACUUUCUUUCACUCGUUCGUUUAAAGAAUAAUAUUAAAAUAAUCAGACGAACUUUAAAUUUGCUAAAAAUAAGUAAUAAUGUAAUUGACCUAUAAAUCGAAGUGAUUGACUUUUAGGGUUUUACCGAAUGAAAAUUUCGAGUUGUUACACGUUGAUCUCGAUCUCAUCGAGUGGAAUAACAAGAGUCUCAUCGAACAGACACUUUUUCAAGUUCGAUACGUGGAAGGUAGAAUGUAUGUUACUGAGUUCGCGCGGUAAGUUAAGUUUGUAAGCUNGUUCGCGCGGUAAGUUAAGUUUAUAAGCUACAGGGUCGAUUCUUGCGAGAAUCUCAAAAGGCCCAAUGUACCUUGGAUUUAGCGUUCCAUGCUUUCUAAAGUGUAUCAAGCCCUUCCAAGGUGAGACCUUCAAUAGAACACGAUGUGACAACCCAAAAUUUCCAUUCUGAACAAACCAUAUCAAGCCAAUAGAAGUUAGAACAGUUACAGAAAAAUUCCGGACUUUAGGUAUAAGUUUGAGUAUUUAGGGUUUAACAAUUAAGGAGAUAUCUGGAGAGUGGUUGCACUAGGGUUUUGUGCAACAUGUUUAUUCCAAUACUCUAUGAUAUUAGAGUUCAUUCCACGAAUAAAAUAUUUUCUGCCAAAAAUCUCAGGACUAUAUAUAGAAAUCUGAGCCAUAUUCAUUCAUUAGUUACAUUUCCAACUACAGAAAAGCCAUUUUCUCUCUCACGGAUCUUCGGGUUUUAUCCCAAAUCGUGAGUAUCUCUCUCUAGUAGUGUUAUAUAGCUUAUAAUGUGGUUAUAACAUAGAUAUCAUAGCUAAGCAACUAGAUUUAGGAGUUUACUCCCCAAGGUGUUCUUGGCGGUAAACUCUCGAAACAAUGCCUAGCCUUUCCCCCCGUGAUAUAUUAUUACCUUAUGCUUGUAUAUAGGUGUAAUUGGGACAAGAAAACAACAAAGAAACACCAAAGAUUAGGUGUUCACGGCCCCAGAGGAUCUUGGACCAUGAACUCCAAAAACUUGGACCAAAGUGUGCUUUUAAUGCAUCUAAAGCCUUGGACUAUCACAUAGAAUUACUUCCACUUAAAUCAAGGACUCUAACACAUCAAAAAUCCCUCUUUUUGAGAGAUUAGGACCCUAAUAAGGCUCCUGGGCCGUAAACAUGAAAGAAGGGCACCAAAGUGUGCCUAAGGCCUUCAUUUGCCUUAGGUAAAAGUGUAGAACCUAUCCUACAUGUGUAUGAGACUUGAAAGCAUCAAAAAUACCCUUCCAUGUGAGUUUACGGCAGUAAACUCCAAAGGAAUUGGCCUUGGGGCCGUAAACUCCUCAAAGGAGGUUAUUAGUUCCUUAAACCCUUCCAAGAAUUAAACCACCAAGUUGGAAUACUUCUAGGGAUCAUUUAGAACUUCAAAACACAAAAGGACACCAAGAUUAGGAAUUCACGGCCGUAAACACAAGGUGUUAUGACCGUAAACUCCUUGUGUGGGGUUUAUGGAAGAGUAAACUCAUGUAUAGGGUCCUUUGGAACCCUAAACCCAAUUGCCUUGUCCCACAACAACUUAGAUGCAAUCCUUACGGCUUAUAACACUUAUAUAAAGUGUUUAUUAUGUUCUAGGAUGUCUUAACAUUAUCAAUUAGUAAUUUAAGACUAAUUGAGUGCAUAUAUGUGUGAUUAUAUGUUCAAUAGGAUUGGAGUGUGUGUACAAGUCCUCACUUGACACCUAACAAUCCUACACCGUUCAGUUCAUCCAAACCACCAUCUACAGGUGAGUUCAUACCCCUUAAUCAAUGUUUUAAAUGAUUUUAAAUGCUUUAACGGGGGGAAUACAAGUAGAAAACAAUAUGUUAUUAAAUCACUCUUAUGUAUUUUAUAACUUUGGUUUCAUCCAGUAGAUUUCACAUACUUCAAAAUGUGAUACAUGAAAUGGUUUUCUAUCUUAAAAUACCUUGAUAACAAAAGUACUAGUUUUGAAAUUUAUAUUAAAAUGACAUCAAGUCACUCUUGAUUAUUGUUCAAAACUCUUAGAUAUCUUGCAAAACCAUUAUUUUUACCUUCUUGAGCAAAACUUCACUUAUACGCAUAUGUUCUUAUAUAUGUAUUGAUGUUAUUUUUUCAUCCUUCGUUCAGUUUACCUUCUUGAACAACCAAUUACUUUCCAGUUAAUUAUCAUAGGGAUAGUUGGAAGAAACAAAACAUUAUUCCUAUUACAAGGAAUCACACAAGAGUCAGUUCAUUCAUGAGUCUAUACCAGUACAUUACAUGAUACAUGAGCACAUUCACCUAGGAUUACAUUAUACAUGAGUACGUCUACAUAGAUACCUUUAUCUGAAUACGCUUACAUGAAUACCCAACAUGAGUACUGUUACAUAGAUACAUUAUCCUGUAUUCACUUACCUGGAUACUUGUUCCUAGAGUUACGAGGAAGAUUUAUUCGUACCUUCUGUGUAAAUUUUUCCUGCCUAUCCCUGUUGGAUGGGAUGUCUAGACAUGACUAACCAUUCCUGAACCCAGCUGUUAGCACCAGUGGGUGAUGAACAUCUACGGAUGUCUAAGGUUACUACUUAUAUUAGGAGUCGGCAUCGGGACUAAUGUAACAAUUGGUAAAUAUAGGAACGAUCGUACGAUGCUAUGUUUUGAUUAUUAAGCAAUAUGAGUAUUUUAUCAAGAAUGGUUGAAGGAAUUUAACCUCUUUUAUUUAAAUAAGUUCUUGUGAAAUAUAAAACAAGUAACUAUUGAUAAAUUUCGUUAUGAUGUAUGACUACGAACCAUCACCGGUUUGUGAAAAGUAGCAUAUAACAUCAUUUGAACACAACAAACUUAAUUUUGUAUCAACAUGUAUCUUGUUGAUAAUUAAGUUAGGUUCUAUGUAAAAUGUGUGCUUAAUAGUUGUGGAGGACCUAAAUUUGAAAAAUAUACGAACCAAAGUGACAAAACGUGUUUAACGAUAUGGUUAACUGGUUAAAUGUCACGAAAUUAUACAUUGGUCUAUAAAUUUUAUAUUUAAAUAAAUAAAAAUAUAAAAUAAAUUACCAUAAGGUAUAAUUAGAAUGUAUUUAAGUGUUUUUGAAUAAAAAGAAUAAAACAUAAACAUUAAAGUUCAAAUACACAAAAACUACAUUGUUAUUUUAUACUAAGUAUACAUGUAUGUAUUUGUAUAUAUGUAUUAUUAUCUAGUGAAUGACUAGUUAUGGGUCAUGAUUUAAGUGAUUUCAUGUAAGGAAUGUGAUUUCUAAAUCAAUUAAGAUAAGAGAAUUGGUGGUGAUAUGUGCCAACUUAACUAAUAAGUGCAUAAUCACUGAAGACAUUUUACUAAGAAUGCUUAUUAAUCCCUCUUCUAAUUUUAGAGAUUAAGACCUUCCCUCUCCUUAACUAGAACUCCUAACUAACUAAAUAACUACUAGUUAGUUAGUUAACUAAAUCUAUCUCUAAGCAACCACCCAAGCAAGUGGCUAGACAAGAUCACAUCCCAUCACAAGCUAGUCUAGGUUUUGUCCCGUUAUCCUCUUCCACCCUUUCCUCCUUCAUAAUCAAGAAAUUUACUCAUCACUUUACCCUAAAUUAACCAGCCAAUACUCCAGGAAAUUACUCUCAACCUUCAUCUCAUUUCCAGCCACAAGAACUUCCUUCCAAAGCCAUCAAAACCAUGAACUAAAGGGCUGUUGUCCCUUUUGUGUAUCAGCCACCAUAUCACCCAUCUACACCUUCCUUUUGCUUGAUAUUUUUACCACCAAAUACCCCUGGAAGUUAGUUGUUAUGCUACUAAAAAUUAUUGAUUCAAAACAGUGAGUAAACUACCCUUUUUUCUUACUCUUUUGCUGUGAAGUUUUCGUGACAGCAACAUAGCCAAAACAGUGGCUGUUUUGGAGCAUCAAACCAACAACCAAAAGUUCUUCAUCUUUAACCUUCCAUUCUUCAUGUAUUCACAUAAGGUGAGUUCAUACCCCUAUAUUUUCAUGCUUUCUUCAAGUUUUAAGGGGGGAAUACAAGUUAGAACACUAAACAUAACUUAAAUUUAAAUGACAGCUUUCUACAGAAAAGUUGAGUCCUGUUCACGGACUGUUUUGACCAUCUUAAACUUAAUAUCUUUCAAAACUGUACAAUAUGCAAAUAGUUCAAGUUUAUACCUUUCUAAUGACUACUCGCACGCGUUCAUACGAUUUUUCUACAAUUUAUGGCGAUUUUUAUAAAACUGUCUGUCAUUUCAGAAGUGAUUUCGGACCAGUCUGUGAAUAUGUUCAUUUUCACACUAGUUUGAGACCACUAAAAAUCAUAAUAAAAAUUAGGAACAAAGUAGACUCAUUUUAUAAACUCUCAGAGGUGACGGAUUCAGUUUUUGACUUACGAGGAUUUUUCUAUGAGUUUUCUAAAAACAGGGACAGUAAAGGGUAAAACUGUCAAAAGUGGUUUAUAGAUUUAUUAACACCUUCUAACAUUUUUGAGCAAUGUUUAUACAUUAAGGAAGUUAAAACACAAUCAUUUAAAUAUGUUUAAUUACCAUUUUUACAAAAGUGAUAAGUACAAAAAGGUCUUUAGUAUCAAACUUAAGGAUUAUUUCAUGCAAAGUUUCUAAUAAAAACGUAAGAAUAUGAACAACAAUUACGAAACAUACCAAAUCAUCUUUUAAAAUUUAUACAUAUAUAUAACCAUAUACAUAUAUAUGUUUUGUUUACAAANNNNNNNNNNNNNNNNNNNNNNNNNNNNNNNNNNNNNNNNNNNNNNNNNNNNNNNNNNNNNNNNNNNNNNNNNNNNNNNNNNNNNNNNNNNNNNNNNNNNNNNNNNNNNNNNNNNNNNNNNNNNNNNNNNNNNNNNNNNNNNNNNNNNNNNNNNNNNNNNNNNNNNNNNNNNNNNNNNNNNNNNNNNNNNNNNNNNNNNNNNNNNNNNNNNNNNNNNNNNNNNNNNNNNNNNNNNNNNNNNNNNNNNNNNNNNNNNNNNNNNNNNNNNNNNNNNNNNNNNNNNNNNNNNNNNNNNNNNNNNNNNNNNNNNCAAUCCCGCACCUUAGCUGCUUGCAACAGCUAGACCGGCAGGUCUAGGGGUGACAAAUGUCAUAACGAAAUCGACACCUGAAGAACGUUGCGAACAAGGCAGUCUGGGUCAAUCAAGCAUGGUUAUAAGAUAAAAAUUAAAACUCAAGUAAACCAACAAUGACACUUUUAGUUUACGCAAAGACAGUCUUCAAAUAGUUUUAUAUACAAACAAAACUGCAUAACAUCAUUUUAAGUAGGAAAAUUACUUAUAUGCUUCAGUCUUGGUUCAUUUAAGGCCACAUCUCAUUUUAGGGAAAAUAUAGGAUUUUCCGGAAAACAAACAUUACUACGUUUCAUAGAAAAGGUUUACAAAUAUAAAUACAAAUGCUUAUGAACUCACCAACUUAAAUGUUGAUACUCUCUUUUCAAAUAACAUGUAUUCUUAGGAAAUCAGUAAAUCAGGUAACAACUGGCUUUGAGGAUGGGACACUUAGGCGUCUAAACAAAUCUUUUGACAACAUAUUGUAAUUGAUAUUUUGAAACAUGUAAUACGUACAAAUGAUGUAACUUUUUCAAUUAUAUAUAUGUAUAUAUAUAUAUAUAUAUAUAUGUUGGUUGUGUUUCCUUUGAACAUUUAUACUCAACUGUUAUGAUACACUACAUGAUAGUCACAUGCCCCUGGAUGUUUCCGCCAUCCUGGUUUGGGGGUUUGACAUAACCCAUCCUCUAACCUGCUGUUGCUACAGAGGACAAUUGGACAAUCUUCGGAUGUUCAUUAGGUUAUACAUUUCACUUACUGCCAUGGCGUGUUAGUCUUGGUAACCAGGGAUAACACUUACAUAGUUAUAUUUUUCCUAUUUACUUUAUUUCGUGAUAUAUUCACAUAAACGAUGAGUUAGACUAAUUACUGUUUGUAGUAGUCAAAAAGAAGGAAAAACUAUCAUUUUACUUACAAAACAUUCGGGUCUUGGUAGAAGACUACAUUGUCAUAACAAAACAUUCGGUUCUUGGUAGAAGAUUACAUUUCAUACUAGUAGGAAACAGGGGAAUUUCUAAGGUUUUUCAUACUUAUACCAACUGUUCCAUUUAAAGAUUUACAUGACAUUCAUAACAGUAUUCCAAAACAAGACAAUAACACCUAAAUUCUUAUGAAUUCAACAGCUUUAAAGCUAAUACUCGCUUUCAAAAUUACUUGUAUUCUCAGGUCAUCAAUUAGACAGGUACGAUGGCCAGGUUUUGAGAAGACGGAGCACAGACAAGACUCGUCCUAUUUUGAUUAUUCGUUUUAUUGUUGUACAUUAUGAAAAACACACAUGUAUUAAAACUUUACUUUUAAUGCGAUGGAUGAUUUUGUUGCUUGUUUACUACUUUACACUGUUAUGAUACUUCACAUGACGUCCUCCACCCCAGAAUGUUUCCGCCGUUCUUGGUUUUGGGGUGUGACAGAUUGGUAUCAGAGCUUUGUUUAUAAUGAAUAUAGUAUAUAAACCCAUAAAAGAUAUACUAACUAUAAAUACAUAGGGAUUAAAACACUCUGUCUAAGAGUUAUACUUUUAAAUAAUAGAGCAUUUAACAAAGUAUACGUGCCUGCAUUCAUACUAAAAUCCGUGUCACAAUGACAAGAACAAAAGUAUUGAGAUUGUUGAAUAUCACAGGUAAGCUUGGGGAUGUAUGGUCAGUCUUGGGAGUGGCAUAGCCUGAUCAACUAUGUUGUUCCUAGGAGUGAUUAGCACAUGCCUAAGAAUGGUUGUAAUAUGGCAACAAGUCUAAAAACUUACCAACAUUACCAUAAUGAGAACAUUAUAAUAGAACCUAAGUCUAAAAUACCAUAGGGGUUUUUUGUGUUACUACAAGUACUUUAUACUUGAGAACUAAAACGGGAUCUUCAUUACUAAGUUGAUAGUUGCUAAGUGGAUACACUAAGGAUAUAUGUAAUUAGGAUGUUAUAGACUUAGAAUCUGUGAAAUUUUACUCCACCCCAAUUCUGUGUGAAUUUGGAGUUAAGGUCACUUAUUCGAAGGCCUAUCCUGUUUCGAUUACAUAUAAUUUGUAUGCACUUUACAGAUAGAGAUGUAACUAAUGAAGAUAUGCUAAAUAAUUAUCUAGAUAGUUCGUCUAAUAAUUAUUUUCUUACACCAAUUCUCGCGUAGAUAACAUGGCUGGAUUCCAUCCCCACGACAACAUGUUCCUUCUGAACGAAGUGAUUGCUGGAUGGUUUGGAGAAGAACCAGAUAAUGAUCAUCCGAUCCCUCUGAAUGAUCACCAUGCUGAAGACCUUUUAGACGGUUCUAUCUCCGAACCCGAGGUUGAGAACCUACCCCAGGCAGCUCACUUUCCAAUUCCUAACCCGCGUCCGGCUUUUCAUGGCCCGACGUCUCCAUGGGUAGAAUGUCUGGAAACAUGGAGCACAGGUCAAGAUCAACCUAUGCCAUUCAAUGGAGACCAAAGAUUCUACAACGUAAGUGAAGGGAGCUCAACAGACAAAGUUCUACCAAUUCUGAUCCGAAGAGUUUCCCGAAAUGAAAUUCAGGGCAGGACAACUCUACAACGUAUUGUAGAAGUUGAUACAAAAGGAGGAAUGCAUAUGCUUCGCACCGGUCGCCUUGAACAUGCUCAUGAGAGGUCUGAAAGAGACCAUGAGACCUUUCUGCAAGCACCGGCUGAAUCACGAGCUGAAGGCAUAGAACUUCGAGUACGCCAUAGAGUGUACGAAAGACACCUUCUUGAUGUGGAACGCCAACUGGCUGAACUGAGACUUCACCAAAGGGAUGACCGUCGCUAGUAGUAGAUACUUUAUUUUAUAUUCCUUGUUAGAAAGGAAUCGUGUUUCUGUCUAUGCCCGAUGUGGCAUUUUCUAUGAAACUAUCUAUUACUGUAAGUACUUUAGUUAGCUCUUUAUAUUGUCAGGAACUAUCUUCUCUGAUAUGAUGUGAGACCUUUUACAAGGUCAUUUUUCCCAAACUUGUACGUCAUGAAUAUCAAAGAUACUGACAGUCGGCUAACUUCCGUGUCAUUCUUUAUUCAAAUACUCUUAUCAUACUUUCAUUAGAGUCUAUCUGAUGAAACAUGCACUAGUCAAGUCAUGGGACUAUAGCAAUUUGACUCCAGAGGCAUUUCUGAGUCUCUUGUAUUGGUUGGAUCAUAUUAUUCAUCAACCAACGAUGCUUCGGCUCGAACGACAAACAUCUUGAGACCAUUGUACGAACUUACUUCCGUUCUUUGCUAGGACUGCAUCAUAGGGAUGUAGGUCAAAGCUUCGUGAACACACUUCCAUUAUGUAUUAGGACUACAUCAUAGGGAUGUAGGUCGAACCUUAGAGAAAAUACUUCUAUUCUUUACAUGAGCGAUCGAACUGCGUCUAGGUUCAACCAUUCUUGCUUACAAAUUCAUUUUUCCUUCCGUGUAACAGAAUCAUGUCACCCAAGAAAAACGAUCAGCCCAUCAACCAAACAUCAGCCCUUCAGAUUGAUGCAGCUACAUUUCAAGCUGCAGUCUCGGUUGCCGUGUCAGCUAUUCUGACCCACCUGAACGCUAACAACGCAAGUCUUAGCGGGAUUGUUAACAAUCAUUCCAAUGCAAGUAAUAAUCAUGAACCGCAACAAGUAGCAAACUACCACGACACCCCGAGUCCCAAGACCAAGAGUAACAAACCGAAGUCUUGGAAUAAACCUAAGGACAAGUCGCUUCGAAGGGCGAAUAGGAAACAACCACCCGUAACAACCUUCACANCCCCCAGUAAACCUUCCCAGCCACGACAUCAAUACCUCCUACUACCAUCCCUUCGGGCAUCCCAAUUGUCCCAAACCCAGUCAAUCAAUAUGCUGGCAAUCUCCCAAAAUGCGUUCAAUGCAGUUUUCACCACCAUGGACCUUGUAGGGAGAAGUAGUGCUCAAACUGCAACAGAAAGGGGCACACCAAGCAUUACUGCAAGAGCCUAACAAGGCCGAACAACCAAGUGCCUAGCACCAGUGUGAACCAAGCUUGCUACGAUUGUGGCAAGGUAGGUCACUACAGAAGGAACUGCCAGAGGCAGCAAAUGUUGGCAGCGACGGCAGUAUGCUAUUGACUACCGCCGUAGGNNNNNNNNNNNNNNNNNNNNNNNNCCGUAGGAGUGUCUACUCCGGACCCACGUUAAUGUAAUUUAGGCGUUUCGUUGUAAUAGACUUAUGAACCAUCCCAAAACUAGUGCAACCAGAGUCUUAUCUUUUGCGGGAUCCCGUCCAUUUAGGGAUGCUCGUGCUGCGUAUACUUGUCUUUUGUAGUAUACCUUGGUCGCAACAACAGUCUUGUAGUAAAUCUAAUAGUACAGUAACUCUGUUAAUGGUUGCACUGUUGUGUUUUGGUCUGUAGUGCCUUAUGUUCAAAUCUAAUGUUUUUAGUUUCCAUAUGUUCCCGACUUUAUCAUAUGACUCGAGUAAAUUCGAUCCUCGCAAUACCAGCUUCAUAAGUACAUCUCUUUCUCAGUAAACGUCUUUUAGCGAAGCUAUCAUAUCAGAACACCGAGGUACUCGUGCGUUGAGUACCUUAUAGCACUUUUCCUUUCCAAAGGAAUCCCCACAGUAUUACUCGUAGAGUACGUCAAGUUCAAUUCAAGGAUUCAUACGGUUGAUCUAUCACUGAAGAAUGUAUACAUGAGAGUGAUAUAUAAUCAAUGUUUUACACGUUUAGAAUUGAUGAUCCCACUUUAACUUCUUUUCCCUCGAUAGGAUGUGAGAUUAAGGAAGAAUCAGUUAUUCGACUACCUUUUCAAUCAUAAUUAUAUACGAAUCGUAUACAUGAGAUUGUGAUCAUUGAACCAUGUAUGAAUUCUAAUAUGAACUUCAGGACGGAGAAUGUCCAAGUGUAGAUCACCGUUGUGUUGGGCUGAGGUGGGUGACACCUAGCUAGCAAAAACACUAGCAUCGGACAAGGCGCUAACGGGACCGGAGAUCAUUCGUGAAACCACGGAAAAGAUAGUUCAAAUCAGAGCUCGACUACAAGCAUCGCGCGACCGACAGAAGAGCUACACUGAUAAACGGCGAAAGCCAUUAGAGUUUCAGGUCGGGGAUCGAGUGCUGUUAAAAUUUUCACCUUGGAAAGGAGUCAUUCAUUUCGGAAAACGGGGAAAACUGAACCCACGAUAUAUUGGACCUUUCGAGAUCGUUGCCCGGAUAGGUCCAGUGGCGUACAAACUGCAACUACCCGCGGAGCUAAACAGUGUACACCCCGUGUUCCAUGUCUCCAAUCUAAAGAAGUGCCUAUCAGAUGAAACACUCGCCAUUCCCCUUGACGAGAUUGAAAUCAACGAGAAUCUCCUGUUCGUUGAAGAACCGGUUGAAAUCAUGGACAGGGAGGUGAGGCGUACCAAGCAAAGCCGCAUCCCGAUUGUGAAAGUACGGUGGAACACGAAGCGUGCGCCAGAAUUCACGUGGGAAUGCGAAGACCAAAUGAAGCAAAAGUACCCUCACCUAUUCUAGCAUUCUCAAAUCUAGCUUUCAAAAGAAUUUCGGAACGAAAUUCCCUGUAACGGGGGGAUGAUGUCACAAUUAGAAAUUUUUGUGCCUUGUAACCAACACUUAAACCAAAUUAUGAAUCAAAAACAUAAGAGCAUGUAUGAUGCAUACUCUAUGACAGAAAAAUCUCAAUCAAACAUCUCAUGCAAGCAAUUCAAAUAGCCAUUAAGCAAUUGGAAACCCUAGAAGUUCUUGUUUAAGUCCAUUUUGGACUAGGACUUCCUUAUUGGGCCCAAUGGACCAAUAAGCUUCCAAUUUGGCUAUCUUGGGCUUAGAACUCUUAAAUGGGCUCUAAUUGGACCCAGAUCCAUUUAAUUUAAUAUUUUAGGCCAUAUUGUGCCUAGAAUGAAAUAGAUUAAUUAUAUGAACCAUUUUGGACCAUAAUUAACCUAAUCUAGCCUAAUAAGUCAUAAAAAUCAUAUUUAUAUUUUUUUAGGGCCAAAAAUCAUCCAUCCUAGCUAUAACAUGGGCUUAAGGGCAAAAAUCCCAAAAACCUCCUAUCACCCUCCCCAUUCUCGGCCCAAGCCCAAAAGAAGAGGAGAGUUGACUUUAUGAUUGACACCUCACAAUUGUUCAAGGGACAUCCAUGCAUGAAGACUCAAACAUCCAUGCACUCACAUACUUCCAAGUCUAGCUACUCUUUUUCUCCCUCUCUCUCUUGCUCUCGGCCGAGUUCAAGCACACACACACACACAUUUCACUCACUUUUCUCUCAAGGAAACACUCUCAUAACUCAUCCAUACUUCGAGAUCUAAGAAGGAAUCAAGGGGAUUUUUACACAAAAAUCAUCAUCUAAGGUAAGAAAUCUCUUAGAUCCUUAAGCUAGCUACUUCAUUUCAUCCAAAAAUCACCUCUUAAUUCAUUCAAACUCAUGAUCUAGCACCUUAGAAGCAUCCAAGUUAGAAAUCUUCCAAGGAAGGUUGCUAAGGCCGAAAUUCUUCUCAUUUUCUUCCAAAAACCGAAACCAUACCCAAAGCUGAGCUUCACACCCCCUCUUUUUCGGUUUUUAUAAGUUUUGUGGGGGAGAAUAGAAGCAAUUGCGUAGAUCUAUGAGUAUAUGUAUUCCUUGUGUGAUUUUUAUGCUUAUAUGUAUGGUCUUAUGUGAUUGUGAUGUUUAUACUAGCCAAAAGAACCUAAAAACCAAGAUCUACAAUAUGAUGAAUGAAAUAAGUAUAACUUAUACCAUUUCACACUAAUCAAGUCUAGAAAAAUAACCAAGUUGGUUAAUAUGAACAUUUUUGGACUUAAAACCCAUUUUUGGGCUCAAAAUGCUAAAAAUACAAAACUAAGGGGCCCAAAACGACAAAAUAUAGAUUCUGAAGGUUGAGAUGAGUCUAAACAGUUUCUAAUAUGUAUUUUCUGAAUAUUAACACUUUUGAAGGGUUAAAAAUGUGAAAUUUAAACAUAAUGGGCCAAAAUGGGCUUUUCGGCCCAAUAAAGCCCCAAAUUGUGAGAUUUUUGAGUUGGAGGGGCUGAAACUGCACAUUUCUGUAAAACAGGGGAUUACUAGUGUACCAAAUCUAUUUCAAGGGUCAAAAAUGCUUUUCAAAUUAAAAAGGGACCAAAUAUGCAAAAAAAAUUUCCAUUUUGGGUCAAAAUUGCAAAAGUUGCGAAAAUGGAGGUUUCAAGCGAGAAAAUUUCAUUUUUGAAGGACAUAAACUGUUUAUCAAGUAAAUUUGUGCUAACAAUGUCUUUCCAAUAAGUUUUGAUACUAAAGUGUCAAGAAAAAGAGUUUAACGACUAAACCCGAAAUUCUUUUAUACACAAAGGGUUAAAAGUGUAAAUUUUAUCCGAGAAAGGGCUUAAGAAGAUAAACUCACAUUCUUAAAACAAUAGAUCCCUUAAAAUAAAAAUACGAGUACUACGUCUACCGGCGAAACGUAAUAAUAAAUACACCUUCAACACCAAAAUCGUUACCAAACGAAUUGAUUCGGUCUCGAAUCAAUAACGAAUCAANAAUAACGGAUCAAAAAUCAAUAAACAAUGAUACUUCAAUACACACGCGGAAAUUUACGAGAAGUCAAUACACCAUCUUUGGGCUCGAAAUUUUCAUAUCAUGCUUGUUGGGCCUAGCUAGCCCAAGGACAUGAUCUUUAGGCCCGAAGGGAACGCGCUUACAUGUUAUUGGGCCUUAUAUGACCUAAUUUUAUGUAAAAGGACUUUCAAUAGCCUUGUUUUGCUGUUGGGCCCCAAGGGUCCUUUGGUACUGCUAGCAAAGUUGAAAAGUCAAAUACGAGUCGGGCCAAGUGCCUUUCGCAUUCACGAUAGCCUUGCACGACUUAUGGAAAUAACGGGGGCUUCGCACCCUCUUUUCUCCUCGGUUGUGGGGCUAUGAGAAAUCAGAGUGGUUGGAUUAAGUGAGUAGUACGGACGACGCCUAAGGGAUCGUUUGUAUAGUUGUAAACUAGUCAUUUUCAUUAAUGCCUGAUUAUAACGACUCACAACCCAUAAUUAAUCCAAUGUCACCUGGAAUUAUAGAAAACAACGUUGUAUCAGAAUAAUACUAACUAAGCCACGUAAUUUGAUGUAAUGGGAAAACAUCGGGUUUUCCCUGGGAAAUUCAACACUCUUAACUAUGUGAUAUAUACAAAGUCUAACAAUUAUUCACGUUUAUAAUAAUCAACAAGCAUACUUACGGAUCUUCACACUUUUUCUCAUAUACAACACUUUUUUUUUAGAAAAUAUCAGAUUUUCUAUGGUUUUAAAAAUUAUACAAAUCAUUUCUUUUCAAACCUUACUUAUGAACUCACCAACAUUUCAUAUGUUGACGUUUUUCCAAAAUACUUGUAUUCUCAGGUAACAGGUAAAUCGAAGAAAAAUGUAUCCAGUGAUGUCAUGAUGUUUGUUUAAUUAAUAUCGAAUGGCUUAUGUUUUGGAAAUGUAAUGUUUUGAAACAAUGUACUGAAUGUAAACAAUACCGGUUGUAAUAUUUCAAUGCAUGGUGAUGAAUGAUGUUAUGAUUCAUGUAUAUUCAUUGUGAUGGUAUUCAAUUGAGUCACAAUAGCCCUCGGACGUUUCCGCCGUCUGGUUCGGGGGUGUGACAGGUUGGUAUCAGAGCUCUGUUUAUAGUGAACUAGCAUAUCUAGCCACACAUUGAUAUGCAACUAUAAACCAAAAGAGGGACUAACACAACUCUGAACAAAACAAGUAAAACAUAACAAUAANAUUAAUAUAUUAUAAGUUCUAGUAUAUUAAUAAUAAGAAUAAUAAGAUUAUUUAAUUAGUAUUGAUCAAGAAUUAAUCUAGGAUUAAUUAAGUGAUCAAAAGAAGACUAAUUAAAUAUAUGGGUUGAUUGUGUAAAUCAUCCAUACUUGUAUAGUGGGCUAAUGCUCCAUGGAUAAUCAAGUUGGGCUAAAACCCAUAGGAUGGUCCAUGGAUGCUCCAUGGUGUAUUUGUACCCAUGGAUCAUGGAAAUGAAAGGCCAUGUCAAUUAGGGUUUACAUGGUGUAACCCUAACUAUAUAAGCAUCUUAUUCUUGACCAAAUUGGUGACUAGUGUGUGAAAGAAAAGGGCUAGCCGAUUUCAUGAGUUGUAGAAUUCUCUCAAGUUAUUCUAAGUGUUUUGGUGAUUGUGAUUCCAUUUGAGGCUUCCACACUAUUGGGGCUAGGCACUCAAGCUUCAUGAAGACUUUCUACAUCAAAGAGGUAUGUAUUCUAUCUUGUUACACUCAUUGUUUUGUAUGCUAGAUUAGGAUAAUACCUUGGAAGUUCUUAUUUGCAUGUAUAAUAGAGAAAACAUAGAUCCAAGGUAUUUAGGGUUGCAUGUACACUUAGGAGUGUUAGAAUGCUCAAAACCCAACAGUGGUAUCAGAGCCUAGGCUUGUUUUCUUGUUAUACCUGCAAUAGAAGCUGAAAAAACGAAUCUGGUGCUGUCUGGCCAUCAGACUCGGCGAGUCCAUCAGGAGACUCGACGAGUCCAUGCCUAAAAAGUGAUGAAUUCGAUCCAACUCGCCGAGUUGGUUCAUGCACUCGACGAGUUGGACCCCCAGACAGCAUAUUUUCGAGUUUUUUGGGCAGAAAUGGACUAGGAACAUUACCCUAAGUUGUUUUUGAACUUAUAAACUUGUUUUUGAUGUGGUAAUGUUCAUGCUAAUCCAUUUUCAAAGAUAAUUGUCAAUAGAUUCAUGUUUUGUAUUAGUUUAAGGUUUAGACUAAUUACAUGAAAAAGUUUGAUUUGAAUUAUCUUGUUCUUAUGAGUUGCUUAGAUUAAUAGAAAAGUUGAGUGAAAUAGUUGUUUUCAAUCCAUUUUAAUCUAAGAGUUGAGUAUAAAAUGUGUUUGUGUAACUUGUCCUCAAGUUACAUGAAGAGUCACAUUAAAGACUCAUAAAAUUCAUAAAAGUUGGCAAUGGUUACAAAAUGAAGAGUCUUGUGUCAUUGAAUAAUUUUUAUGACUCCAUAACUUGUCCUCAAGUUAUGGAAGUUCAAGAGUCACUUCAUUAAAGAAAAAUAUGUAACCAUAAUUAAAUCCAUAAGUUAUAAAAUAAAGAAAAAGUUAGUUCUUUUAUUAGUUUAAAGUCUUCCAUAACUUGUCCUCAAGUUAUGGAACUUGAAGAGUUUUUGGAUUAAAACUACUUUAAACACAUAAGUUAUGGAAUUAAUUAGUUUUGAAUAGUUUCAAAACUUGCCCUCAAGUUUUGGAAUUUGAAAAGUUUUCAAGUAUGAAUACUUUAAUUCCAAGUUAGCCCUUAGAAUUUUAAAAGUUAAAAUUCAACCCUUAUACUUUAUAAUAUUAUAAGUUAAUAAUAUAUAUAUGUAUAAGAGUAAAGUCAGUCUUACCGCUAGUACGCCUCAUUCACGAAGCCGGUCUAUAAGGUGGGUAUAAGGUUGUUGCCUAUAAAAUGGCAACUUAAUGGGUGUCCACUCUCACCCACCGCUUGCUUGACUGGUGGAGGGUCGUUAGCCGAACGGGUUUGACAGGACUAGAAUUCUCCCUUCAUUAAAAGUAUUAAUGAUAAUACUAAGUAACUAAACUCUUAAUAAUACCCAAUCUUAGUUACUUAGGAAAAAUGUGAAUAAGGUGCUAACCCAUGAAAUUACACUUUACACUUUGUCUAAGUCGUUAGUGGAGCGUGUGUGGUUAACCGGCACACUAACUUGGACUUAACAAGGUAGGUAAAGGGUGACUUAAUAUUUAUCAUAGUAUCGAUGGAGCGUGUGUGGUUAACCGGCACAUCGAUUGAGGGGUAAUUUAUUAAGGGUACCAAGUGAUUUGCAUGGUUACUUCACACCUUGUUUUGUGAUCCUCGGCAUCCCAGUCACAAAACCUGAAGGGCACACUCGAGAUUGAAACAUGCCUUUGAAAAGUUCAAUGAAUCUCAAAGAUCUAGGAGUUUCAAAACCAAUUAAAACCUAAUAAUACAUUUCGUUUAUCUUGGUGGAAAUUGGUGAAUCGUCAUUCACCUACCUUCAAAUAUUUUAUAGCUUGGAUUACGGCAUACCUCUUCUAAGUUAUAAAAUAGUUUGUUGGGUCCUAGCCUUAAUAUUUCAUAUUGGGUGUCAUAUUAAGGACUUUAAAUCAACUAUCUUGAAUAUCUCCCAAAAGAUGUCUGGUUUAGACACCUAUGAUCUUCCCAAAUCUCUUGAAACAAGGUUUCCUAAUGAAGAUGAUGUCCCAUGGAUAUCAUACUUCUUCACCUCUUCAAAUUAUUCUCCCUAACCCACAAGUUCUUGAAAAGUUUAAGGUCACUCAGGCCCUAUUGGCAAGGCAAGGUCUAGGUGUGGUCACAUCUUGGAGAUGUAGUCACAUAUUGACAAGCCGGGAGAGUUGGGUGUCAAAGUCUUGAGAAAGUUGGUGGUUCAACCACUUUCUAAGUCACAUAGUGAGUUCCUUUGGGACACCUAUGAAACAGACUAUGACAAGACCCUUAAUGAUCUUAUCUAUUUGCUAAGAUCAACUUCCUAAAACUUUAUGGACAUUGACAAUGAUGACAUUGGAUAUCCAGUAAAGCAUUCUCUUCCCAAUGGAAAGGGAUCGGCCAUAGUCAACUCGGUUGACCAAAUGGUAAAGAGAAAAGCUAAGUCUGUGAUAGUCCCGUGUACCAUUAUCAAAGGGUCCAUAUGUUUAUAUUGCCAAAGGAAGGGGCAUUGGUUGCGAAGCUGCCAAAUUUACCUAAGGAUGUUAAAGUCAAUAAGUUUGACUCUACUUCAGGUAAAGUCCACUAUCUAACUCUGUUAAGUUUCUAUUCUGAGAUUCUUGAUACAUGAUGUGACUGGGUCACAUGGUGAUGUUUUAAGAAUCAAAGAAAAGUGAAGAAACUUAAAGAAAGAAUAUGCUGAAUCUGAUGGCGUAGAUGGAUUUCUAUCGCAUAGUUUGAAGAUCGGAUUCUUGAGCUACUUCUUAGGAGUUAUGAGAUAUUGCUUAGGAAUAGAUAACAACAAGUUUUCAUAUGGAUUGUAAGGAUAAGUUUUUCCGCAAAGUUUUAAAAUAAAAGAAAAUUUUUUAUUUUAUUUAUUUUAAAAUAUCCUUACAAUGGCAUUUGAGGAAAAAUUGUUGCUUAUAUGAUUCCAUUAAGAGCAAGAGUGGAAAUAUGAAAUUGAUUCUUUCAUUUGUGGUAAUGUCUAAAUUUACCAAAUAAGGAAAGAUUCUCAUCACCCAAGUUUCAAUUGGACCGGAACUUGGAAUCAUGCAAGUUGUAUAGCAUGAUGAAUGAGAACUUUCAAGUUUUGGAAAAUUAAGACUAAUUACUUGUUCACAUGGAUGUGUGAGUCAAGUAAAGGACUUAGGGAUCGAGUACACAUUCUUGUGCACUGAUUAAGUCCACCACUAAAGAUCGAUAAGAAGAAUCAAAUAAGGCAGAAGGAUAAAAGUUUCUCAAAUCUGAAAAGAUGGGAGAGUACUUUAGUAUCAGUUUUGUGAUCAUCUUAAUGAUUAAGAAACCAUAUCAAAAUUAGUUCUCUAAGGAAAUCUUAGUGCAUUCUUAUGACUAAGAAGAGGAACUUGAAUUGUUGAAAUGGUUAAAUCAAGAAGAUGAGUCAUACUUCGUUCCAAUACAAGUCUUAGAGUCAUACUCCAAGAUUGUCAUUUGAGUGACAUGUCUUAAAGAAGGUUUAAAACACUUGUCAAAUGUAAGAGUAAAAGUUUUCUACUCUUGUACAUUUGAAAUUGGUAAGUUGUGAUGUUUUGGAUAAAACAAAGACCAACUUAGGCCAAUUGGGUAAAGUGUUUUUCUUGAUUAGAAUCCGCACUAUCUCUUGGAUGUUUGACAAGGGAGUCUUAUAUGUCAAGAGGACAGUGGGAGUCUUAAAGGUCUUGAAAGUCUCAAGAAAUAAUCAAGAAUAAAACCUAAAGUUCUUCACUAGCACACGACUUGAGGUUUAUAACCUAUCGUGUUGACAUAUCUGUGCCCAUUCCAGUUAAAGUUGGCUUUGCAUAUGAGUUCUUAGAGUUCUCAGUUUGUUGCAUAACAACUUGGAAGCAAUGGCAGGCCCUUGAGCUGCCAGGUGGCAAGAAGUUAAGAUUGAGUUCAAUCCAUAUGGUUUUGGAUUUGUCAUUAUCUUUGUCUUGUGAUUAUGGUUUGACAAAUUCAUAUGGGUAGGAACUCAUACACCAUAUAAAUCUAAGUGUCAUAAGGUUUCUCUCCGAUUCAUGAAAAUGAUGGUGAGGAAACGCUUUCACUAAGUAGAUUUUACGAAGAUAUCAAUUGUGUUAUUUGCAUUUUCAAAAGUCGUUAGUGGAGCGCGUGUGGUUAACCGGCACACUAACAUGGACUUGUGAGAAAUGGCAAAUGCCUAAGCAAUUGAGACCAUGAUUACGGUAUCCCUUUUCAUGGUUCUUGAAAUUGCUUAGACACACAGGUGAGCUAUCUACGGAAAGGGUGUAUGAAUCUAAAUUUCAGACUGUCCAGCUGAUUUCUGAGUACAUGUCAAAGCUAGUGGGAGCAUAAGUGUUAUGCUAAUAAUCAUCAUGUUAGUGGGAGCAUGAUAAUUAUGAUAAGUAUUGCAAGUUAGCAAUGUUAAUUAUAGAAAACAAAAGUUUCAAUUGGGAAAAAGUUGUUUUGCUAUAAUUAAGGGAGAGGAAAUUAUGCUUCAUCUCAAAUCUAUAAGCUUAGAUCGUGAGGUUUUAAUCAUUUAGUCAAGGAUAUAUAUGAAUUUCAUGUUGGAAUGGCUCAACAUAAGGAAAUUCUGUAUAUGGGUCCAUUAUUUGCGUUCUAAAAUUCGAUUAUGAUUACGGCAUCCCUUUUCAUAAUCUGAAUUAUGAGAACUUGGCAAAUUGAAAUGGAAAUAUUAUAGCAAAAGACUGGUUUAGUCUUUAUGUAAGACAUCAUGAAUCGUGUCCCAUAUGCUUCGGAUAUAGGAUCGAUUACAUGUGCUAUAUUCAUCCGUUCUAAAAUUUUCCAAAUGCCUGGGGCAUUAAGAAGGGAAAAGGUUUAGAACUGGAUAUGACUAAAAGGAUUAAACAAUUGUCGAGGACAAUCUAAGGUUUACCAAAGAUUGGUUACUCAAGGACAAUUGGAAGUAUAGUGAUAAUUCUGGAAGGACCAUAUUGACAUAAUCUGUAAGGAGGCAACUCUUGUUCAGAAGUGAUAGUCAAAAUGGAAUCUGGAAAUGUUUCAAAGUUAGAAUUUUCAAUCUGUGUAAGAUUAAGGAAACUUAAUGCAAGAAGGAUAUUUCCAAGGAGUUGAUCUCCUUUGGAAUACUCUGUAAUGAUUGUUGCCAAGUCUUUGUGACUUUGUGCAUAAUCAUUACAAGAGGAUCAAUGCAUAUAAGUUUAGAAUCUAACAGAUUUCAGUAAAUGGCAUGAAUUUGGAAUUCUUGCAUUUGCAGUAAGGAUUUGGGAGUGUGAAAAGAGAAUCAUUGAAGUUAUGUUCAAUUGAUCUAGUUCACAAAGUAAAGAUCAUAGACAAACAUAGUAUGCAUACUUGGUGUGUGGCAUGACUAGUGUUUAAGAAAACAUAGUGUACAUGCUUGGAGCAUGGGACAACUAUUGUUUUAAAUUCAAGAAUAAAGUUGAUAGCUGAAACAGUAUACAAUGAAUAAUGUGUAAUCAUAUGGUGAUAAAUAAAAGGUGUUUUAUUUAUGUUCAAAGGGUUGAUACCAUAUUGGAUUCAAUUAUUAUUGUGUUUCAUUUUGCAUGUUUUGACUUCCCGAAUAAACUGGGUUAUUCUUCCGGAAUGACUAAGUUAUUCAAACCAUCCACAGUCGGUCAUAUGUUGGAAGUAGAUAUGAAUUAAGACUGUCAUGGGUUGGCUUGUAGAGGUCUAAGGUGUUGGACAAAGGGCUACAACACUCAUGAGUGCUCAUAAGUUCUGAGUAUUGGAUUCAACCCGCGCUCAUUGGAAUCACUUCAUGGAUUUUAUCACGAGUGAUCAUGAGACGAUAAUAUCUUAUAUUCUUCAAACCUAGAGAUAUGAGUUGUUACUAUGAGUUGAUAGUACAUUGAUUGCACGAAAACGCAUUUGGUAACUCGGUGCUAUAAAACGUGCCUUUGUGUAUGAUUCAACAAGUAGUAGAACAAGCCAUAUGAGUCGAAGUUUAUCCAUUCCUUUUACCUUCGGGAUAAAAGCGAUAUCUGUGGGCCCCUCGAUGAUUUGAUGAUGACAAAUGGAAGUGCUCGGCCGGGCCAGGACUGAUUUGAUUUGUUCAAUUAGUCAGUCGUCAUAAAUCGGAAAUCGGGAAACAACAAAUGGACAGAGAGAAUGAUUAUAAUCCAUGUCUCAGUCCAUAUGAUAUCUAGAAUGGAGGAAUAUAUGAUCCCUUAUCUAAUGGACAAGUCAUUGACAAAGGUCAGAGUUCAUCUACAAGGUCAGAGUUCGACAGAAGCUUUUGAGAGCUACGAUUGCCAGUUGGUUCCUGAAGUCAUACGCAAUAAUAGUUUUAGACUUAUCCAAGUGGGAGACUGUUGGAUUAAUGUCUAAGUCCAUAACUAUAAUUGGUAAGACUUGACCCGACCCGGCAUGGUCCAUUUGGGUUGCAUACCAUCAUGCACUUGGAUAGACUAUAAUGAGAGAAAUAAGACACUUAUGGUUAUUAAUAUAUUAUAAGUUCUAGUAUAUUAAUAAUAAGAAUAAUAAGAUUAUUUAAUUAGUAUUGAUCAAGAAUUAAUCUAGGAUUAAUUAAGUGAUCAAAAGAAGACUAAUUAAAUAUAUGGGUUGAUUGUGUAAAUCAUCCAUACUUGUAUAGUGGGCUAAUGCUCCAUGGAUAAUCAAGUUGGGCUAAAACCCAUAGGAUGGUCCAUGGAUGCUCCAUGGUGUAUUUGAACCCAUGGAUCCAAGGAAAUGGAAAGUCAUGACAAUUAGGGUUUGCCCUAAUUGUAACACUAUAUAAAGAUAUUAUUCUUGGCCAAAUCGGUGACUAGUAUUAUUCUAGAGAGGGCUAGCCGAUUUCAUGAGUUGUAAGAAUUCUCUCAAGUUAUUCUAAGUGUUUUGAUGAUUGUGAUUCCAUUUGAGGUGUCACACUUGGGGCACUAGGCACUCAAGCUUCAUGAAGCCAUUCUACACCAAAGAGGUAUGUAUUCUAUCUUGCUAUUGUCAUUGUUUUGUAUGCUAGAUUAGGAUAAUACCUUGGAAGUUCUUAUUUGCAUGUAUAAUAGAGAAAACAUAGAUCCAAGGUAUUUAGGGUUGCAUGUACACUUAGGAGUGUUAGAAUGCUCAAAACCCAACAAUUACAUGAUACAUGAGUACAUUUACCUAUGAUUACAUGAUACAUGAGUACGUCUACAUAGAUACCUUUAUCUGAAUACGCUUACAUGAAUACCCUACAUGAGUACUGUUACAUAGAUACAUUAUCCUGUAUUCACUUACCUAGAUACUUGUACCUAGAGUUACGAGGAAGAUUUAUUCGUACCUUCUGUGUAAAUUUUUCCUGCCUAUCCCUGUUCGAUGGGAUGUCUAGACGGGAUUAACCAUUCCGGAACCCAGCUGUUAGCAUCAGUGGGUGAUGAACAUCUACGGAUGUCUAAGGUUACUACUUAUAUUAGGAGUUGGCUACGGGACUAACCCUUCCUCCAACCUACUGCUGCUACAGACAACAAUUGGACAAUCUUUGGAUGUUCAUUAGGUUAUACAUUUCGCUUACUGCGAUGGCGUGUUAGUCCUGGUAACCAGGGAUAACACUUAGAUGGUUAUAUUUUUCUUAUUUACUUUAUUUUGUGAUAUAUUCAAAGAAACGAUGAGUUAGACUAAUUACUGUUUGUAGUAGUCAAAAAGAAGGAAAAACUAUCAUUUUACUUACAAAACAUUUGGGUCUUGGUAAAAGACUACAUUGUCAUAGAAAAACAUUCGGGUCUUCGUAGAAGACUACAUUGUCAUAACAAAACAUUCGGGUCUAGGUAGAAGACUACAUUUCAUACUAGUAGGAAAUAGGGGAAUUUCUAGGGUUUUUCAUACUUAUAUCAACUAUUCCAUUUAAAGAUUUACAUGACAUUCAUAACAGUAUUCCAAAACAAGACAAUAACACCUAAAUUCUUAUGAAUUCACCAGCUUUAAAGCUGAUACUCGCUUUCAAAAUUACUUGUAUUCUCAGGUCAUCAGUUAGACAGGUAUGAUGGCCAGGUUUUGAGAAGACGGAGCACAGACAAGACUCGUCUUAUUUUGAUUAUUCAUUUUAUUGUUGUACAUUAUGAAAGAACACACAUGUAUUAAAACUUUACUUUUAAUGCAAUGGAUGAUGUUGUUGCUUGUUUACUACUUUACACUGUUAUGAUACUUCACAUGACGUCCUCCACUCCGGAACGUUUCUGCCGUUCUUGGUUUUGGGGUUUGACACACGGUCGCCCACCUGGAAUUCCAACGGUUUCCUACGUUUAUCAGCGUAGCUUUUCUGUCGGACUCUGGAGGAUUUUAGUUGUUUACGGAUCUGAAUUAAUUCUUGAAUUAAUUCUAGGAUGGUACUUGAGAGGAUUUUUGGAGUUCACUCUUUUGGUAAAUGGGGAGUAAACAUAAAAUGACUAGUUUGGGGAGUAAACUCAUGCUUAUGCAUGAGUUCAUGGUUUUUGGGUGAUUUUUCGACUCAAACAUAAAAUUUUGGCCGUGAACUUCUAUGACACAAGGUGUUUGCGGUUUAGCAAUCUCAAGACCCGAGACGACACUUUCUUUCACCCGUUCAUUUAAAGAAUAAUAUUAAAGUAAUCAAACAAACUUUAAAUUUGAUAAAAAUAAGUAAUAAUGUAAUUGACCUAUAAAUCGAAGUGAUUGACUUUUAGGGUUUGACCGAAUGAAAAUUUCGAGUUGUCACAUCAUCCCCCUGUUAAAGGGAAUUUCAUCCCGAAAUUAUAAUUUAGGUAAGGAAGUAGGUAUGAAUGAUCGUGUCAAGAGGUGGGAAACUUCCUAAUCGAUUGGUUCUCGCGGUCAUAAGUGAAUUCGGGCCUUCGGUUGGUAUCCCAAUGAACCUUCACUAAAUGGCGCGGCGUUGCUUCGUCCGCUUGACCUCCCGGUUGAGGGUCACUACGGUUCUAAUACAAAGGCGAGGAUCUCGUUAAUCUCAAUCUCGUCGGGUCGGACUUACGAAAGUCCUAACAGAAAGGUACGAUUUCAAGAUCGAGACGCGAAGGGUAAAAUGUAUGUUACUGAGUUCGUGGAGUAGGUUUAGUAUGUGACAUACAUGACCGAUUUUGGUAAGAAUCUCGGAGGUCCUGACUAUCAUGGAUUUAGCUUUCCACGCUUUACGAAACGCAUUAAGCCAUUCCCGAAGUGAGUUUUCCUAAAGAACUUGGUCUAUCACUUGGAAUCUCCAAGGUUUCUUUUUAUUCUUUAACCUCCCAGUCAAGGGCCACCCCUUGUUGGGUCAAAUUCGUAAAGGUUUCUGUGAUUUUCGAGGAGUUCUGGAUGAACUAUGACAGUAGGUCUGUAAGACCUAGAAUUUGGAGAAUUCCUGUCGAUGUCCCUAAUGUCGAAAAAUUCUCAACGGUUUUGAUAAAUUGACAGAGUACUCAAGAUUUUCCACAUCACUAAUAGUGUGUCUUAGGAAAUUUUUACUCUCCAAUUCCAAAACUUGUGUUCAGAGAACUUUGCGAAAAGUAUCUCCGAGGGUAAUGUUUAUGUGGGUUCCUUCUUACUACGAGGGAAGAUAAGUAAGUCGUUACAAGGAGAACGACGAACUGAUCCAAUUAAGAAAGACGGACUGUAUUCAUUAAACUCAUGAAUGCUUCAGAGGUAUUGGUCCUAUCCGAGGGGUAUCACUACGGACUCGAAGUGUCCGCAUCGAGUUCGGAAGGUAGUCUUCCAGACAUUCUUCCCUCACACUCAAACUGGUGUUAUUCGGAUCUUAGGUCCAUUUCUGAAAGUAAUUCUUUCCUUGAGUUUUCUCAACCAAUUCAUCUAUGCGAGACAGAGGCAACAAUUUCUAAUGGAAAAAUCUGGACGGGGUCCUCGAUAGCCUAGGUACAUACGAUGCAAUCCGUCGACCUCUGGAAGAAUAAGACUGGAGUUCUCCAGGGUGAGAAGCCUAGUCCACCAAUUCUAUUUCUGUGUAGUUUGCUAAGUUGUCCGGACUGUUCUUGUAUCUUUGUAGUUGUUUAGACUGUAGGGUGAUCUGUUUACAGGAGUCAUACUGGGCUCUAAGUUUGUUCACAUGACGAUGCGAUUGCUCGUAGGCUUGGGCAGUUCUCCGUCCUGAAGCUCAUAUUAGAAUUCAUACAUGGUUUCACAAUCACAAUCUCAUGCAUAUGAGUCGUAUAUAAUUAAGAUUGAAAAGGUAGUCGAAUAAUUGAUUCCUCUUUAAGCUCACAUCCCAUCGAGGAAAUAGAAGUUAAAGUGGAAUCAUCAAUUCUAAACCUAUAGAACCUUGAUUAUAUAUCACUCUUAUGUAUACAUUCCUCAGGGAUUGAUCAACCGCAUGAAUCCUUGGAUUAAACUUGACGUACUGCACGAGUGGUACUUCGGGGUUUUCUUCGGCAAAGAGAAGAACUAUGAGGUACUCCAUGCAUGAGUACUUCGAUGUUCUGAAAUGACAGCUUCGCUAAAAAGACGUUUACUGAUAAAGAGAUGUACGUAUGAAGCUGUUUUUUUUGUGAGGACCAAAUUGAAUCGAGUCGUAUGGUAAUGUCGGAAUCAUACGGAAACUUAAAGACAUUAGAUUUGAACAUAAGACGUUUACAGACAAAACACAACCGUGCAACCAUCAACAUAGUUACAAUACUUUAGACUUACUACAAGACCAUUUCUGAGAGUGAGGUAUACUACAAAAAAAAAAGUAUACGCAACACGAGCAUGCCUAUACUGACAAGAUCUCGCAAAAAUGUAAGACUCUAGUUGCACUAGUUCUGGAUAGUUUAUAAGUCUGUUACAAUGAAACGCCUAAAUUACAUUAACGCAGUUCCGGAGCCGGUUUCCUGCAGUUGUGAUCCUGAGAAUCUUCCCAUCUGUGCCAGAGUUCUUUGCUAUAUGGCAAUCCUUCUUGAAGUGCCCUAUCUCACCGCAUUGGUGGCAUGACUGGCUAAUACUAGUUUUGGUGGCGGGAGUGUGGUGUUUAGCCAGUGUUAUGUGGACACGAGUGCCUUCCUCAUUACUCCACCUUGGAAAUUGCUUCCUAAAGCGUUCUGCAGGAGUUGCCACUUGUGGCUGGUGCAUGGCAAGUCUUUGGGAUCUUUUGCGCUCCUUUUGGGCUUGACGAUAUCGUCUCUUCUUUUCAAUCUUACGGUUUUGCAAGUCCAUGACUGUUGCCAUUUGUCGUUUUACCGGUUUGGUACUACCGUCGGAACUCUCGACUCCUUCGUCAAUCUUGCUUGUGUUGCCUGAGUUGAUGUGUGUAAGGAAAGUUGUCAUAGAAGCUGCUACUGCAGCUUGUAAUGUAACAACGUCGAUAUGGAGGAUAGGGGUUUCGUUGCUCGGCUGAUUGUUUCUGGAUGACGACAUGAUUUUGUUAACACAAAAGAUAAGGAUUUUGUGAGUGAUUCUGGUUGACCCUAGAUGUACUUCGAUUGUUCUUGUAAAGAGUAAGAGUAUGUUUUCAACAGCUUGACCUACAUCCCUAUGAUGCAGUCCUUGUACGGAUUGGAGGUAUGUUCGCGAAGGUUUGACCUACAUCCCUAUGAUGAAGUCCUAGUAAUGGGUAGAAGUAAGUUCGUAGAAUGGUCUCAAGACAUUUGUCGUUCAAGCCGAGGUAUCGUUGGUUGCUGAACAACAUGAUCCAACCAUUAAAAGAGACUUGGAAAUGUCUCCGGAGCUAAAUUGCUAUAGUCCAAUGACUUGACUAAAGCAUGUUUCUGGUAUACUCAAAUGAGAGUAUGAUGAGAGUACUUGAAUUAAGAAUGACACAGGAGUUAGCCGACUGUCAAUAUCUUUGAUAUUCAUGACAUACAAGUUCGGGAAAAUGACCUUGUAAAAAGGUCUUACAUCAUACACCGCGAACAUAGUCCUUGACACAUAAAGACCUAACCAAAAGUACUUACGAUACAAGAUAAUUUCAUAGAAAAUGCCACAUCGGGCAUAGACAGAAAAACGAUUCCUUUUAACAAGGAAAAUAAAGUAGAUCAUCCACUACUGGCGACGGUCAUCCCUCUGGUGAACUCUCAAUUCAUCCAGUUGACGUUCCACAUCAAGUAGGUGUCUUUCGUACACCCUCUGGCGUACUCGGAGCUCUAUGACUUCGGCUCGUGAUUCAGCCAGUGCUUGCAGCUGGGUUUCAUGGUUUCGCUCAGAUCUCUCACGAGCAUCUUCUAGAUGAAUGGUACAGAGGAUAUGAAUUCUUGCAUCGGCGACAACUUCGGUGAUCUGAUGUAGGGCUGUCCUGCCUUGAAUCUCAUUUCGGGCCACUCUGUGGACCAAGAUUGGCAAGAUUCUAUCUGCUGAGCCCCCAUUGCCCAGGUCAUAGAAGCUUCGGUCACCAUUAAAUGGCAUGGGCUAAUCUUGUCCUUGGCUCCAUGUUUCCAAGCAUUCCACCCACUCAGGCGUCGGUUCAUGAAAAGUCGGACGAGGGUUAGGAAUUGGAAAGGGAGCUGCCUAUGGUAGGUUCUCAACCUUGGGUUCAGAGUUAGCACCGUCCGAAAGUUCUUCAUCAUGGUGAUCAUUCAAAGGGAUAUGAUGAUCAUUAACUAGUUCUUCUCCAAACCAACCAUUAAUGACUUCGUUCGGGAGAUACUGGUUGUCGUGGGGAUGGAGUCCAGCCAUGUUAUCUACGCGAGAAUUGGGGUAAGAAAAUAAUUAUUAGACGAACUAUCUAGAUAAUUAUUUAGAAAAUCUUCAUCAGUUACAUCGCUAUUUGUGAAGUGCAUACCAGUUAUAUGUAAUCUAAAUAGGACAGGCCUUCGAAUAAGUGACCUUAACUCCAAAUUCACAUAGAAUAGGGGUAAAGUAAAAUUUUCACAGAUUCUAAGUCUAUAACAUCCUAAUUACAUAUAUCCUUAGUGUAUCCACUUAGCAACUAUCAACUUAGUAAUGAAGAUCCCGCUUUAGUUCUCAAGUAUAAAGUACUUAUAGUAACACGAAAUACUCCUAUAGUGUUUUAAGUUUAAUGUUAUGUUCUACUAUUCUCAUUGUGGUAUUGUUGGUAAUAUUUUAGACAUGUUGCAACCACACAACUACACUUAGGCAUAUGCUAGUCAACUCUCGGAUAUUAUAGUUGAUCAGGCUAUAUCUUCUUAGUUUUGACCAUACGUCUCUAAGUCCACAUGUGUUGCUAAACAAUCGUAAUUCUUUUGUACUGUCCUAGUGACACUGAUUUUAGUAUGAAUGCAGGCACGUAUACUUAAUUAAAUAUGUUACUAUAUAACAUAUAAACUCUUGGUCAGAGUAUUUUUAAUCCCUAUGUAUUUAUAGUUAGUAUAUCUUUUAUGGGUUGAUAUACUUAAUUCACUAUAAGCAAUGCUCUGAUACCAAUCUGUCACACCCCAAAACCAAGAACGGCGGAAACAUUCUGGGGCGGAGGACGUCAUGUACAAUAUUACAACAAUGAAAAUUAGUAAACAAGAAACAACAUCGUCCAUUGCAUUAAUAAUAUAAUUUUAAUACAUGUGUUCUGUCAAAUUAUAACAGACACUAAAGUAUAAAAAAAAUGAAAGAUGAGUCUUGAACGAGCUCCAUCUUUUCUAAACGUUGCAUCGGUACCUGUCUACUGUUGACCUGAGGAUACAAGUUAUUUUGAAAGCGAGUAUCAGCUUAAAAGCUGGUGAGAUCAUAAGUAUUAAUGUGUCUUAAUUUGUAUGUAGGUAUUUCAUUGACACGUAAUGAAAGACUUGAAAAUGUUUUGAAACAAAGUUCGUGUAAGUAUGAAAAUGUUUGUAAAAUAACUGUAAACGUUUGAAAAACCCUACUGUUAUAAAAGCGAGUCUUCUACCAAGACCUAACUGUUCUAAAUGUAGUGUUCUACCAAGACUUAACUGUUCUAAAUGUAGUCUUCUACCAAAACUUAACUGUGCUACUAUUAUUAUUAUGAUUAUAAGACAUUGUAUCCUUUGGUACUAGGAUACUCAAAUAUAAUUCACCUCAUCUAUUAUGUGAAUGGGUCACAAGAUAAAGGUAAUAAUAUAAAUAACCUAAGUAUUACCCUUUGGUACUAGGGUAGCUAACAAUGUUAACUAGAGACAUCCGUAGAUGUACAUUCACCUCUGUAGCUAACAGCUGGGUAUAGGAAUAGUUAGUCCCUUAAAGUAUACCUGUAAUGGUAUCAACCGUUGACAUCCGUGGAUGUGCUUUUACCUCUAUAGCUAACAGAUAUUCUAGGAAUGGUUAAUCCCGCAAGGUAUCCUUUGGUACUUGGAUAUUAAAUCCAAUCUAUCUCGCCGAUUAUUUGAUUGUAUCACAAAGUGAAGAUAAGAAUAAGGAUUAUAUAACAGAAUCUAUUCAUAUAAAACGUACUGUUAAUUCAUCAUAUGUUUUCUAUGUAAACGUACUCAUGUAAAUGUACUCAUGUAGAUGUAUCUAUGUAAAUGUACUCAUGUAGAUGUAUCUAUGUAAAUGUACUCAUGUAGAUGUAUCUAUGUAAAUGUACUCAUGUAAAUGUAAUCUUGUAGAUGUAUCUAUGUAAAUGUACUCAUGUAAAUGUAAUCAUGUAAACAUAUCUACGUAAUAAUAUAGUAAUGUACUGUGUGUACUAGCUAUGACGUGUGUUCUCUCUCUAUCUAGCAAGUAUUGACUCAUGAAUGAACUGACUCAUUGUAUGAUAUCGUGUUCUAGUAAUUGUUCUAGUAUCUUCCUAAACUACCCAUACCGUAGCUUACUAGUAACGUAAAUGGCACGUAUGAGCACGAAAGUAUACCCUUCCUACCCAAGGGUAUUGAAUGAACUGGGAAACCUUUAUGACUAUAUAUGUACACAUGAUAUAUAACUAAUAUUUAAACAACCUUCGGACGGAUACCCGAUGUCCCACCCGACCACAUCUCAAGCGUGACAAGGAAAUAGGGUGGAUAGCCUUCCUAAGUCUUUUAAACAUUUCUUAUAUAACUAUACAUAUAUAGGAAUGCAAUUGAUAAUACAAAAGCAUAAAAUAAGUUUUAUUAUCUAAGAAAUGAUCGACUUGAUGUUAAUCUAUAAAAUGGUUUGAAAGCAUACGUUUUAUAAAAUAGUUUAAGUAUAAAGAAACAUUUGUUUGAAACAUAACCGUAAAUGAUUUUGAAAUGAAACAUACAUAGUAAAAUAUACAGUUUAAUAAGGAGUUUUAAACAUAUAAAGCGUUUAUGAAAAACAUAUGAAGGAAACUCUUUUGUAAAAAGGCUAAUGAGUUGUAAAUCAUUUUAAUGCUGCUUAUUAAUCACAUGUGAUUAAUAUAAUAAGUAGCAUGAUUCCACUUGUAUCCCCACCAUAAAGAAUUUAAAAACAUUUAAAACAUUGAUUAAGGGGUAUGAACUGACCUGUUGCGAGUGGAUCGGAAGGAAGUGUCGGAUAAGUGCUUUGUGUCAAGUGAAGACUUAGAGACGAACAAAGAUCCUAAUUACAUAUGAGGACAUAUGUAUAUAAACAAUUAGUCUUUAAACAACUAAUAAACAACUAGAGACACUCUAGUACAUGACAAACACUUCUGUAUAAGUGUUAUAAGUGCUAAGGAUUGCAUCUAAGUGUUGUAGGGAAAGGCUAGUGUGUUUUGGGUUCAAGGAACACUCCUAAAAUGAGUUUACUCCCUUGCGUUUACGGUCGUAAACUCCUAACCUUUUGACCAUUUGUUGUUUUGAAGUCUUCUAAGCUAUUCCAAACAUUCCUACUUCAUGUUUAAGCCUUAGGAAGUGUUGUGUGGCAUAAAAACACUGCUAAAUGCAGUUCACGGUCUAAGGACCAUUUCUCCAUGAGUUUACUACCUUAAACUCAUAAGUUUGGUAUUUGGGGGUUUUUGAAGUCCUUAGCUCAAUCAUGGCAAUAGUCUAGGUUAGAUUUAGACAUAAGGAACAACCAUGGGACAAUUUUGGGACUUUUAUACACCUUUUAGGGUGUUUAUGGUUUUGGGAGAUCCCCAAACCGUAAACACAUAAAAAUAUAAGGUUUUGGUGCUUUUUUUGUGAUAAAAUCAUCAAGGAUGAAUCUAGACAAGUUCCUAAGGCAUUGUGAAGCAUCUAGGCACCCUAACUCACCACUUUGGCCAUAUUCGUGGUGUUUACAGUUUUGGGACCUCCCAAAACCGUGAACACCUUUAUCUUGGUGUUCUUGGGACUUUUCGUUGAUGCUAAUAUGUAAUACAAGCUUAAUAAGACUCAAGGAUGGAAGUACUUACUAUAAGGAAACUUGAAUUGAGCUAAAAGUCCAAGAACACUUAGUGUGUGUUCUUGGUGUUUUUGGAAAACUAAUCAAAACACAAAAAUGGAUGGAUUAAAGGAUGUACAAUCACUAGAUUAAGUGAUAUACCAACUUGAAAUGGCUAGAACACUUACAAGUUUGAAGAUCUUGAAUUAAUUCUAGGAUGAUACUUGAGAGGAUUUUUUGAAUUUACUCUUUUGGUAAAUGGGCAGUAAACAUAAAAUGACUAGUUUGGGGAGUAAACUCAUGCUUAUGCAUGAGUCCAUGGUUUUUGGGUGAUUUUUCAUCCCAAACAUAAAAGUUUGUCCGUGAACUUCUAAGACACGAGGUGUUUGCGGUUUAGCAAUUUCAAGACCCAAGACGACACUUUCUUUCACCCGUUCGUUUAAAGAAUAAUAUUAAAAUAAUCAAAUGAACUUUAAAUUUGCUAAAAAUAAGUAAUAAUGUAAUUGACCUAUAAAUCGAAGUGAUUGACUUUUAGGAUUUGACCGAAUGAAAAUUUCGAGUUGUCACACAUUGAUCUCGAUCUCGUCGAGUGGAAUAACAAGAGUCUCAUUGGACAGACACUUUUUCAAGUUCGAUACGUGGAAGGUAGAAUGUACGUUACUGAGUUCACGUGGUAAGUUAAGUUUGUAAGCUACAGGGCCGAUUCUUGCGAGAAUCUUAAGAGGCCUAAUGUACCUUGGAUUUAGCUUUCCAUGCUUUCCAAAGUGUAUCAAGCCCUUCCAGGGUGAGACCUUCAAUAGAGCAUGGUGUGACAACCCAAAAUUUCCAUUCUGAACAAACCAUAUCAAGCCAAUAGAAGUUAGAAUAGUUACAGAGAAAUUCCAGACUUUGGGUAUAAGUUUGAGUAUUUCAAGUUUAACACUUAAGGAGAUAUCAGGAGAGUAGUUGCACUAGGGUUUUGUGCAACACUAUUAUUCCAAUACUCUAUGAUAUUAGAGUUCAUUCCGGGAAUAAAAUAUUUUCUGCCAAAAAUGUCAGGACUAUAUAUAGAAAUUUGAGCCAUUUUCAUUCAUUAGUUACAUUUCCAACUAGAGAAAAGCCAUUUUCUCUCUCACGGAUCUUCGGGUUUUUAUCGCAAAUCGUGAGUACCUCUCUCUAGUAGUGUUAUAUAGCUUAUAAUGUGGUUAUAACAUAGAUAUCAUAGCUAAACAACUAGAUCUAGGAGUUUACUCCCCAAGGUGUUCUUGGGCGGUAAACUCCCGAAACAAUGCCUAGCCUUUUCCCUGUGAUAUAUUACUACCUUAGGCUUGUAUAUAGGUGUAAUUGGGACAAGAAAACAACAAAGAAACACCAAAGAAUAGGUGUUCACGGCCCAAGAGGAUCUUGGGCCGUGAACUCCAAAAACUUGGACCAAAGUGUGCUUUUAAUGCACCUAAAGCCUUGGACUAUCACAUAGAAUUAAUUCCACUUAAAUAAAGGGCUCUAACACAUCAAAAACCCCUCUUUUUGAGAGAUUACGUCCCUAACAAGGCUCUUGGGCCGUAAACAUGAAAGAAGGGCACCAAAUUGUGCCUAAGGCCUUCAUUUGCCUUACGUAAAAGUCUAGAACCUAUCCUACAUGUGUAUGAGACUUGAAAGCAUCAAAAAUAACCUUCCAUGUGAGUUUACGUCAGUAAACACCAAAGGAAUUGGCCUUGGGGCCGUAAACUCCUCAAAGGAGGUUAUUAGUGUCUUAAAGCCUUCCAAGAAUUUAACCACCAAGUUGGAAUACUUCUAAGGAUCAUUUAGAACUUCAAAACACAAAAGGACACCAAGCCUAGGAGUUCACGGCCGUAAACACAAGGGUUUACGAUCGUAAAGUCCUUGUGUGGCGUUUAUGGAAGAGUAAACUCAUGUAUAGGGUCCUUUGGAACCCUAAACCCAAUUGCCUUGUCCCACAACAACUUAGAUGCAAUCAUUAGGGAUUAUAACACUUAUAUAAAGUGUUUAUUAUGUUCUAGGAUGUCUUAACAUUAUCAAUUAGUAAUUUAAGACUAAUUGAGUGCAUAUAUGUGUGAUUAUAUGUUCAUUAGGAUUGUAGUGUGUGUACAAGUCCUCACUUGACACCUAACAAUCCUACACCGUUCAGUUCAUCCAAACCACCAUCUACAGGUGAGUUCAUACCCCUUAAUCAAUGUUUUAAAUGAUUUUAAAUGCUUUAAUGGGGGGGGGGUAAUACAAGUAAACAACAAAAUGUGUUCAAANNNNNNNNNNNNNNNNNNNNNNNUAUGUUAUUAAAUCACUCUUAUGUAUUUUAUAACCGUGUUUUCAUCCAGUAGAUUUCACAUACUUCAAAAUGUGAUACAUGAAAUGGUUUUCUAUCUUAAAAUACCUUGAUAACAAAAGUACUAGUUUUGAAAUGUUUAUUAAAAUGACAUCAAGUCACCCUUAAUUAUUGUUCAAAACUCUUAGAUAUCUUGCAAAACCAUUAUUUUUACCUUCUUGAGCAAAACUUCACUUAUACGCAUAUGUUCUUAUAUAUGUAUUGAUGUUAUAGUUUUCAUCCUUCAUUCAGUUUCCCACACCCUGGUGUAACGAGGGUGCAUAAAUCUACUUGAACAACCAAUUACUUUCCACUUAAUUAUCAUAGGGAUAGUUAGAAGAAACAAAACAUUAUUCCUAUUACAAGGAAUCACACAAGAGUCAGUUCAUUCAUGAGUCUAUACCAGUACAUUACAUGAUACAUGAGUACCUUUAACUAGGAUUACAUGAUACAUGAGUACGUCUACAUAGAUACCUUUAUCUGAAUACGCUUACAUGAAUACCCUACACGAGUUCUGUUACAUGGAUACAUUAUCCUGUAUUCACUUACCUGGAUACUUGUACCUAGAGUUUCGAGGAAGAUUUAUUUGUACCUUCAGUGUAAAUUUUUCCUGCCUAUACCUGUUCGAUGGGAUGUCUAGAUGGGUCUAACCAUUCCAGAACCCAGCUGUUAGCACCAGUGGGUGAUGAACAAUUACGGAUGUCUAAGGUUACUACUUAUAUUAGGAGUCGGCUACGAGAGUAACCCUUCCUCCAACCUGCUGCUACUACAGAGGACAAUUGGACAAUCUUCGGAUGUUCAUUAGGUUAUACAUUUCGCUUACUGCGAUGGCGUGUUAGUCCUGGUAACCAGGGAUAACACUACAUGGUUAUAUUUUUCCUAUUUACUUUAUUUUGUGAUAUAUUCACAUAAACGAUGAGUUAGACUAAUUACUGUUUGUAGUAGUCAAAAAAAAGGAAAAACUAUUAUUUUACUUACAAAACAUUCGGGUCAUGGUAGAAGACUACAUUGUCAUAACAAAACAUUCGGGUCUUGGUAGAAGACUACAUUGUCAUAAUAAAACAUUCGGGUCUUAGUAGAAGACUACAUUUCAUACUAGUAGGAAACAGGGGAAUUUCUAGGGUUUUUCAUACUUUUAUCAACUGUUCCAUUUAAAGAUUUACAUGACAUUCAUAACAGUAUUCCAAAACAAGACAAUAGCACCUAAAUUCUUAUGAAUUCACUAGCUUUAAAGCUGAUACUCACUUUCAAAAUUACUUGUAUUCUCAGGUCAUCAGUUAGACAGGUACAAUGGCCAGGUUUUGAGAAGACAGAGCACAGACAAGACUCGUCUUCUUUUGAUUAUUCAUUUUAUUGUUGUACAUUAUGAAAGAACACACAUGUAUUAAAACUUUACUUUUAAUGCAAUGGAUGAUGUUGUUGCUUGUUUAUUACUUUACACUGUUAUGAUACUUCACAUGACGUCCUCCACCCCGGAACAUUUCUGCCGUUCUUGGUUUUGGGGUGUGACACACGGUCGCCCACCUGGAAUUCCAACAGUUUCCUAUGUUUAUCAGCGUAGCUUUUCUGUCGGUCUCUGGAGGAUUUUAGUUGUUUACGGAUCUGAACGAUCUUCUCUGUUGUUUCCCGUAUGAUCUCUGGACCUGUGAGAGUGCUUUCAGGAACUCGUCCUUUAGCUAACUGGGUAUCACCCACCUUAGCCCAUCACAGAGGGGAUCUGCACUUUCGGUCAUAGAGGGCCUUGAAUGGAGCAGCCUUUAUGAUCGUGUGAUAACUGUUGUUGUAGGAGAAUUCGACAAGCGGUAAAUGAGUAUCCCAUGAUUUUCCGAAGUCUAUCACACAGGCUCGCAACAAAUCUUCCAAGGUUAUGAUAGUCCUCUCACUUUUCCCGUCGGGCUGUGGAUGGUAGGUUGUACUUAUAUCCAGCCUAGUUCCUAGGGAACAUUGUAACGACUGCCAAAACCUCGAAGUGAAUCUACUAUCUCUGUCCGAGAUAAUGGAUAAGGGAACACCAUGUAGUCUUACAAUCUCCCUAAUGUAAGUUCUUGUAAGUUUCUCCAUAUUGUCUGUUUCAUUGAUCGGCAAGAAGUGUGCAGACUUGGUCAGUCUAUCGACGAUGACCCAUAUCGAAUCAAGUCCACACGUCGUCUUGGGAAACUAGGUUAUGAAAUCCAUAGUUAUCCACUCCCACAUCCAUUCCGGUAUCUCCGGCUGUUGUAGUAGACCGGAGGGUUUCUGGUAUUCGACCUUGACCUUUGCGCAAGUAAGGCAUUUACUCACGAAGGUAGCAAUCUCUGCUUUCAUGUUAGGCCACCAGUAUAGCUUUUUGAGGUCCAGAUACAUCUUAUCUGAUCCCGGGUGCACAAAAUAACGAGUGUUGUGCGCCUCGUUGAUGACCAAGUCUCAGAAACCACCUAGUUUCGAAGUCCAGAUCUGGUCCAUGAAAUAAUAAGCUCCGCCACCCUUAACCUCGAAGUUCUUAUCCAUCCCUCUUAGGGAUUCACCCGCCACAUUUUCAGGCUUCAAAGCGUCAAGCUGAGCCGCCUUAAUUCGUGUGGAUAAGUGUGAAUGGAUAGUCAUAGUCAAUGAUUUGACUCGACGACCAGAAUAUUCCUUCUGACUCAGGGCGUCGGCUACUACAUUGGCUUUAACUCGGAUGAUAACGAAUUUCACAUUCGUAGUCACUGAGUAGUUCGACCCACCGUCGUUGUCUCAUGGUGAGGUCCUUCUGGUCAAAUAUGUGUUGCAAGCUCUAGUGGUCUGUAAAGAUAGUGCUUUUCAUUCCGUUCAAGUAAUAUCUCCAGAUCUUCAGAGCAAACACAACUGCUCCUAGUUCAAGAUUGUGGGUCAUGUAGUUGACCUCAUGUGUCUUUAGCUGUCUCGAGGGAUAGGCGAUGACCUUACCUCGUUGCAUUAGAACACAUCUGAGCCCUUGAUUUGAUGCAUCGCAAUAGAUAACGAAGUCUUCUAUUUCUUCGGGAAGGGAUAGUAUUGGCGCGGUGCACAAGGCUCGUUUGAGCGUUUGGAAUGCUCUUUCCUAUUUCUCUUCCCAGUCAAAGGCCACGCCCUUCUGGGUAAGUGUUGUAAGAGGUUUCGCUAUACGGGAGAAGUUCUGAAUGAACCUGCAAUAAUAGCCAGCAAGGCCUAGAAAUUGAUGAAUUUCUGUAGGUGUCUUCGGUGCUGACCAGUUCUCAAUGGCCUUGAUUUUGGAAGGGUCCACGUGUAUACCCUCUUCGCUAACCACGUGCCCUAAGAAUUUGAGUCGUCGAAUCCAAAAUUCGCAUUUCGAGAACUUCACGUAGAGCUUGUCUGAACGUAAUGUUUCGAGGACUAGUCGCAGAUGUUAACUAUGCUCCUCCUUACUACGAGAGUAGAUAAGUAUGUCAACGAUGAAGACAAUGACGAACUGAUCCAAGUAAGGACGACACACCCUAUUCAUUAAGUCCAUGAAUACUGCGGGUGCGUUUUUCAAUCGGAACGGCAUCACUACGAACUCGUAGUGCCCAUAACGAGUUCGGAAGGCUGUCUUUGGAAAAUCCUCCCCUAGCACUCGUUGUUGGUGGUAUCCGGAUCUCAAGUCGAUUUUUGAAAAGAUGCUCGCCCCUUGAAGUUGGUCAAACAAAUCGUCUAUUCAAGGCACAUGAUAACGAUUUUUGACAGUCAGCUUGUUGAGCUCCCUGUAGUCGAUGCACAUACGAAACGAUCCGUCUUUCUUCUUGACGAACAAGACUAGAGCUCCCCAGGGUGUGAAGUUUGGUCUUAUAAAGCCCUUGCUGAGCAGUUCGUUAAGCUGACUGCAUAGUUCUUUCAUCUCUGCAGGUGCUAGAUGAUAGGGCGAUUUGGCUACUAGGGUAGCCCCUGGAACUAAGUCGAUUCAGAACUCGACUUGACAUUGCGGAGGUAAUCGUGGGAGUUCUUCUGGAAAUAUGUAUGGAAAGUCCCGUACUAUUGGAAUGUUCUGAAUGUCCUUCAUUUAUUGGCUCACAUCGACCACAUGAGAAAGGAAUGCAAGACAUUCCUUCCGCAAGAAUUUUUGAGCUUGGAUGCUCGAGAUGAUACGAAGGUUCGUGCCGGGUUUGACACCAUAAACUACUAUGCUUUCGCCAAACAGCAGAUUAAGGCGAACAACCUUUUCGUAACACAUGAUAUCGACACGAUGAAGACUAAACCAAUCGAUGCCGAUAAUGACGUCGAAAAUUUUAAUUGCGACCGCCAUAAGAUCGAUAGAAAAUGAAUGGUUAUCUAAAGUUAGGGUACACCCUAUGAAUAUAAUGCUAGUGCUCUCUGUCUUUCCAUUAUCCAUUUCUACAGUGAACGGUUCAUUAAGUGCUCGUGAUUUUUGCUUAAGUAAAUGAGCAAAUUUUUGGUUCACGAAACUCUUCUCCGCUCCACUAUCAAAUAGAAUGGAUGCAUAAGAGUUAUUGAGGAGGAACGUACCAGUGACCACUAUAGGGUCGGCUACCGCUUCCUCAUGGCCUAUGGCCAGAACUCUUACCGCUCCACCGGCAAACCCUGCAUUCGGGCAGUUUCUCUUGAAGUGGCCUACCUCGCUACAUCCGUAGCAAGUAUGGCCCACUCCAGCACCGGGGGCUUGGUUGAUUGGCUUCUUCGGAGCUUUACAAAAUGGGUUGUGCGCCCCUUCCCAUUGCAGUUCAGACACUGCAUCUCCCGGCAUGCGCCGACGUGAUGGAAGUUGCACUUGUUGCACUUAGGCAAACUUCCAGCAUACUGCUUCACCGGAGCAGCAAUGGCAAAUGCUAUCGCAGCAUGUACUACCACGACUUGCUUCUUUUUGGCAGCCUUAGCCUUCUCCUUGUCAUCCCAAAACUUCCGCUUGGAGUCAGCGAUUUUUGCAGGUUCUGAGAUGGCCAGGGUAGUGGUUGCAGCUGGGGUACGAACCCCGUGAUCUAUGAGCCGCUGUGCCAAUCCCUUGGCACUAUCAAAUGUAGUGGGGUGUGAUGCUAAAACAUUUCCCUGGUAUGGGGGCACCAGUCCCCAUAUGUAUCUCUCGAUCUUCUUUCCCUCUGAAAGAAUCAUGUUGGGACAGAGGGCCACCAGUUCACAGAACAUGGCGGUGUAGGAGACUACGUUGGAUCCCUUCAUGGUCAGGUUCCAAAGCUCUUCCUCCAGCUUUUGCAUCUCGCCCCUCGGGCAGUACUCCUCAAUCAUGAGGUCUUUCAAAGUUUCCCAGCCCAUAGAAUAAGCCACUAUAAGGGAUAGUGACUUAACAUGGCCAUUCAACCAUGUUAGGGCUUUAGUUUCGAAGGUGCAAGAAGCGAACUUCACCUUGCUCUCCUCGGAACAAGACAAGAUUUCAAAAACCGAUUCGAUUUUCUCGAACCAUUGCGAGAGAGCAAUGACUCCGCCAGUCCCCUUGAAGAACAAUGGCUUGCAAUUCGUGAAGUCCUUAUAGGAGCACUCUCUCGAGCGCACAGGAGCUUCAACCUGAACAGACUGAACAGGGGUUCCUCCUCUAGUGGAACCAGAUGAAGGAUAUUGAGCAAUGGCUGUAGCCACAGCCACAGCUACGACAUCUUUUGGAGCCGUCGUGUCGAACUGAGGAGUAGGUGGUUGAGGAGGUGGUGUUUCGUUAUUGAGGUUUCUCCUCAGAUUUCUGCGAGGCGGCAUCUUUGAUCUAUAGUUUAUGAAGAUGAAACAUUGAUAAGAUGUCAAUGGAAGAAUUGAUGGGAAUGACUCAUGACUAACUCCCCAUAGCCCAAAUGAUACGAUUGAAUGGAAAUCUAGAACUAAUAAAUGAUCACAUUUGGAUAAUAAUUCCCAUAAGAUUAGGUACCCGUCAAUAUUACUGGAAUUACAGAUGUAAUAAGUUCUGGAAAAACGGCCAACAAAAAUAGGCCUUACACCAACCAAAAUGGGAAAAUGUAGACAUAAUUACAACCUAACCAAGAUCUACCAAUCCUACGAUUUACAAGAUACGGAAUUAGACCCUAGUUUUACAUAAUUAGGUUAUAUCCAAAAGAGAGAAGUUGAUGAGAAUCUAUCAGCGACGAGAACUACCAGAGUGAGUCCUUGAUCCUGACAGAAGAUGUUUUAUGUCCCUCCUACGGCUAUCAGCCCUUGCUUGCUGAGCUCGAAGUUCUCUGACUUCAGCUCGCAUUUCAGUGAGUUCCCUCUGAAGAGUUGCAUUGUGAACCAGAGCCCUUUCAUGAGCAAACUCUAGUUGGCGAAUGCGGACAGUGUUAACACUAUAACAGCCCGGAUUCCCUGGUAUUAUUCAUUUAUUUAUUUUUGGUAAAUUGUGAGGAGACUCGGCGAGUUGGAGCCUAGACUCGCCGAUUAGGAUCGCAGAUUUGGACACGGGUUCGCGUCCGGACUCGGUGAGUCUAAGAGUGGACUCAGCGAGUCCAUGCUGUUUAAUGAAACCUAAUUUCCUGGCUUUGAGCCCUAUUUAAAGGGCCUUAUAACCCUUUAUUGUGGCUACCUUCGACCUUGAGAGCACCAGAGCAUCUGUGAGUCAUUGUGAGUGAGAAAGAAGGCCAUUAUUCAUCAUCUUUGUGUGUGUUAGCAAGAAGGGAAGAGGAAGGCCANAGGCCAAACUGGAGAGUUGGGGAGCUUGGAUCUACUUCCAUUUUGGCAGAGGAAGCUAUUUGAGGUAUUAUUCAGAGCUUAUUCUUGUGUUUUUAUGUAUAUGGUCAAAUCUAGGGUUUCUCCAUGCCUUGUAUGCCUUGUAAUUUAAGUGUGAGAGGUCCCUUUGGGAAUUGGUACCUAGAUCUGGAUCUUUGUAGGUCCAGAGAGUCCCAAAUGCCCUACUUUAUGCAUAUGCUUUUGAGUUGGGGACUUAGGUUACCAUUUUAGAUGUCAUUUCUCCAAAAGAAGCCUUGUAAGGGUUGCAUGGUAGCCAAGAUUGUAUCUUUACGUGAUGAAUGUGCUUGGAAGGACUGGAUCUAUGAGUUACUGGAACGGAUCUGACGUCAGGAGUGAGUUUGAGUUCAUGCAUGCCUUAGACUCGCCGUGUCCGAAGAACAGACUCGGCGAGUAGCAUGAAGAUUGCCUUUAAUCACUCAGCGAGUGGUCUUACCGAGUUAUGCGUUGACUCAGUAAGUCAAGGAGGGUCAGAGAGGGUUGCCAGGUGGACUGAGUCAAGCUGGAACUCGCCGAGUUGUUCUUGAGACUCGGCGAGUUGAGUUGUGGUGGCCCCGCGAUUCGUGCCAGGUGGAACUCGUCGAUUUAGGGAUGUACUCGACGUGUCAAUAGAGGAUCCUAGGGAGUCAGUGAACACGUAUAGACUCGCCGAGUCGCUCUAGUGCACUCGUCGAGUCUGGUCAAAGUUGACCGUUGACCGUUGACCAGUGUUGACUUGAUAGGGGGUAGUCGACCUUAGUUGUAAAAGUGUUAAUUAGAGAUAUAUGAUGUUAUAGGAGGAUUAUAGCUCGGAGGAUCGAGCACGAGUGAUUUCCGGGAUUCGCGAGUUAUCGAGAUAUACGAGGUGAGUCUUCUCACUAUACUUUACCUUGUGUAGGUACUCAGAGUUAUGUGACAAAGUAUUUGUAUGCUAUAUGUAUGUUAUGUGUUGUACUGCAUUAUUUCGAUGUGAUUUAUGCUGUGCAUGCUUAUAGAUGUGACAACCCGAAAUUUCCAUUAUGUACAAACUAUAUCACUUCAAUAGAAGUUAUAGCAGUCACAGUUAAUUUUCAGACUUUCUGCAUAAGUUUGAGUAAUUCAGGGUUUACACUUCAGGAAAUAUCAGGAGAGUGGGUGCACUAGGGUUUUGUGCAACACUGUUAUUCCAACACUCUAUUAUAUUAGAGAUCAUUACAGGAAUAAAAAUAUUUUCUGCCAAAAAUAUCUCAGGACUAUAAAUAGAAUUCUGAACCAAAUUCAUUCAUUAUUCACAUUUCCAACUAGAGAAAAGCCAUUUUCUCUCUCACGGAUCUUCGGGUUUUUAUACCAAAACGUGAGUAACUCUUUCUAGUAGUGUUAGAAUGCUUAUUAUGUGCUUAUAACAUGAUUUAGAUGGCUAAAUCAUUAGAUCUAGGAGUUUACUCCCCAAGGUCUUCUUGGGCGGUAAACUCCUGAAACGAAGCCAAAACUGACCCUUGUGUUAUACCACUGCCCUAGACUCAUUUGUAUAUGUAUUUAGGACAAGAAAUCAUCCAUAAAUCCACCCAAGUUUGGGAGUUUACGGCCCAAGAAUAUCAUAGGCAGUAAACUCCAUUUUCAAACCUCAAAAUGGUGUUUUAAGGCCACUAAAGCUUUAAGGCUUUUAUCAAGGCUAGUUCCCAUUUAAUGUAAGGCCUUAAACACAUCAAAGAACACCAACAAAUGAGAGUUUACGGCCCAAGUGUAUCUUAGGCCGUAAACUCCAUAGAAAUGGACCAAAGGGUGUUUUUAAGACACCUAAAGCCCUAGACCUUUACAUGGAAUUGUUCCCCACUUAAUCUAAGGACCAAAGCACAUCAAAACCACAUUUCAAAGUGAGUUUACAGCCAUGACAUGGUUCAUGGGCCGUAAACUCAUUAAAGGGGCACCAAAGUGUGUCAAUGGUCUUCAUAUGCUUGGAAUAAAAGUCUAGAACCUAUACCACAAGUGCAAGAGACUUGAAAGCAUCAAAAACACACCAUACUUAGAGUUUACGGCCGUAAACUCUAANUGAUGGCCUUGGGGCCGUAAACUCCUAAAUGGAGUGUUUCUAGACCUUAAACCCCUUCAAGGAUGGAACCACCAAGUUCGAAUAAUUCUAGAUAGCAUUUGGGGCUUCAAAACACACAAAUACCCCAUGGUUGGGAGUUUACGGCCGUAAACUCAAGAGUUUACAACCAUAAACUCCAUGUGUGUUAGUAUAUCAGGAGUAAACUCAUAUAUGGGGUCCUUUGGAACCCUAAACACAAGUACCUUGUCCCACAAUAGCUUAGAUGCAAUCCUUAGGGCUUAAAACACUUAUAUAAAGUGUUUAUUAUCUCUAGGAUGUCUUAACAUAUGUUAUUUAAUUCAAGGAGUAAACAAUAUGUUAUUUAAUUCAAUCUUAUGUAUUUUAUAAUUAUGUUUUCACUCAGUAGAUUUCACAUAUUUAAAAUGGUGACACAUGAAGUGGUUUUCUAUCUUAAAAUACAUUGAUAACAAAAGUAUUAGUUUUGAAAUGUUUAUUAAAAUGACAUCAAGUCAUCUUUAAUUAUUGUUCAAAACUCCUAGAUAUCUUGCAAAACCAUUGUUUUACCUUAUUGAAUCAAACUAUACUUAUGCAUAUAUGUUCAUUUAUAUGAUAGAGAUUAUAGUUUUCAUCCUUCGUUCAGUUUUCCCACACCCUGGUGUAUCGAGGGUGCAUAAAUCUACUUGAAACAAAAACUUACUUUCCAGUUAAUUAUCAUAGGGAUAGUUUGGAGAUAUCAAACAUUAGUCCUAUUACAAGGAAUCACACAAGAGUCAGUUCAUUCAUGAGUCUUUACUAGUACAUUACCUGAUACAUGAGUACGUUUACAUAUGCUUACAUGAUACAUGAAUACCUUAUAUGAGUAUCUUUACGUAGAUACAGUUACAUGUGUAUUACUUACAUGAAUACUUGUAUCUCGAAUUGUGAGGAUGAUUAUUAGUACCUUCUGUGUAAAUCUUCCUGCAUAUCCCUAGUACCUCGGGAUAUCUAGACAGGACCCUAUCCCUAGUACCUCGGGAUACCUAGCUGGGUCUCUAUCCCUAGUACCUCGGGAUAUAUGUACGGGACUAACGAUUCUGGAACUCAUCUAUUAGCAACAGUGGGUAAUGAACAUCUACGGAUGCCUACGGUUAUUACUUAUACUAGGAGUACCUUUACAGGGACUAACCCUUCCUCCGCCCUGCUGCUGCUACAGAGGACAAUUGGACAAUCUUUGGAUGUUCAUUAGGUUAUAUAGGUCAUGUUAACCCUAGUACCUCGAGAUAACAGUUACAUAUGCUGUGUUAGUCCUAGUACCCAGUGACAACACUUACAGUAGUACCUUUUUCCUGUUUACUUUAUUUUGUGAUACUUUCACAUAAAUGAUGAGUUAGACUAAGUACUUUCGUACUAAACAAUUAAAGGAAAACUAUCAUUAUACUCACAAAACAUUCGGGUCUUGGUAGAAGACUACAUUUCAUACUUAUAGAAAAUAAGGGUUUUUCUAGGGCUUUUCAUACUUACAUCAACAUUCUCACUUAAAGGUUUACAUGGCCUUCAUAACAGAUUUUCAUAAGAAAGACAAUGACACUUAAAUACUUAUGAAUUCACCAGCUUUAAAGCUGAUACUCGCUUUUAGAAUAACUUGUAUUCUCAGGUCAGCAGUACACAGGUACGAUGGCCAGGUUUUGAGAAGACGGAGCAGACAAGUCUUGUCUUUUAUUUUGAUUGUAUAUUUUUGGUGUCUUACUACAAUGAAAGAACACACAUGUAUUAAAAUUCUACUUAUAAUGCAAUGGAUGAUGUUGUUGCUUGUUUAUUAUAUUACACUGUUGUGAUACUGUACAUGACGUCCUCCACCCCUGAACGUUUCCGCCGUUCGUGGUUUUGGGGUGUGACAGAUUGGUAUCAGAGCAUUGUUUAUAGUGAAUAUAGUAUAUCAACCCAUAAAAGAUAUACUAACUAUAAAUACAUCGGGAUUAAAACACUCUGUCUCAGAGUUAUACUUUUAAAUAAUAAAAUAUUUAACAAAGUAUACGUGCCUGCAUUCAUACUAAAAUCAGUGUCACAACGACAAGAACAAAAGUAUUACGAUUAUUGAAUAUCACAGGUAAGCCUGGGGAUAUAUGGUCAAUCUUAGGAAUGGCAUAGCCUGAUCAACUAUGCUGGUCCGAGGAGUGAUUAGAAUAUGCCCAAGAAUGGUUGUGAUAUGGCAACAAGUCUAAAAACUUACCAACACAACCAUAAAGAAAUACCAUAUGGGUAUUUGGUCUUACUGUAAUUAUCUUAGUCAGUUCGUCUAUUUAGCUAUUUCUUAUAAUCCCUUUUCUCGCGUAGAUUAAAAUGGCUGGAUUUCACCAUGGCGAUCCGUACUUCCCAAACCAAGGCAAUGCUGGUUGGCUAGAGGCUGAACCAGAAGAUGAUCACCCAAUUCCUUUGGAUGAUCACCAUGCUGAAGGUUUUUCUGAUAGUUCUGAAUCGGAGCCAAAAGUCAACAACCUACCCCCAAAUGCUCAAAACCCAAACCUGAACCCCCGCCCUGUGUUUCAAGGACCCACACCUCUGUGGGCAACUAACUUGAUUACAUGGAGUCAUGAACAGGGUCAGCCUAUUCCUUACAAUGGAGACCGAAGUUUCUACAACCUCCCUAAAGGAGGUUCUGCUGAUAGAGUCCUACCAAUCAUGGCGCAUAGAAUUUCUCGGAACUCGAUAAUAGCUCUGGCGACUAUCAAUCAAGUCUUGGAAGUUGACGCCAACUCUGGUGUUAACACUGUCCACAUUCGCCAACUAGAGUCUGCUCAUGAAAGGACUCUGGUCCGCAAUGCAAAUCUGCAGAGGGAACCUGCUGAAACCUAAGCUGAAGUUAGAGAACUUCGAGCUCAAUAAGAAAGGUCGGACAGGCGUAUAAGGGAUAUCGAACGUCUACUGUCGGGAUCGAGGACUCAUGCUAGCAGUUCUCGUCGCCGAUAGAAUCUCGUCGACUCAUCUUUUGGAUAUAACCUAGUUUAUGUAAAACUUUGGUCUAAUUUCCUAUCUGUAUAAAUCUUAGACCUGUUAGGUCUUGAUCUAGUCUUAAUUCUGUCAAAAUUUUCCAUCUUGGUUGAUGUAAGGCCUACUUCUAGGCCAUUUUUCCCGAACUUGUUACAUCUGUAAUUCCAGUAUUAUUGACAGAUAUCUAAUCUUAUGGAAAUUAUUAUCCAAAUGCCAUCUUCUUCAUUUAGUGAUACUAUUCUUUCUGUUGUUGGACUAUGGGGAUUUAGUCCAUGAGACACAUUCAUUAAUCAUUUAUUCUUAUCCAUUUCGUCAUCUUUUAAACGUACAGUUAAAGAUGCCGCCACGCAGGAAUCCAAGGCGAAACCCAAACAACGAAGCACCAAUACCACCACCUCCACCACCACCUGAACCUCUUCAACCACCAAAUCCUUUCGAUGCCAACAUGUUCCAGGCAGCUUUCACAGCAGCAGUUGCAGCUGCUGUGUCAGCAAUCAACGCUCCUGCCCCUAGUGGAUCAGGAACAGGUGCACCACCCUCGAACCACGGCGAAAGCCAUGGACACCCUCGGGAAUGCACCUACAAGGACUUCACUAACGCCAAACCCCGCAGCUUCAAUGGAACUGGGGGUGUUAUGGUGUUGAGACAAUGGAUUGAAAAGAUGGAAUCUGUCUUUGAAAUCUGUGCUUGCCAGGAGGGCAACAAGGUCAAGUUUGCAGCUUGUACCUUCUCUGACAGAGCACUAACAUGGUGGAACAGCCAUGUUAACUAUCUAACUUUGGUGGUGGCGUAUUCCAUCGGCUGGGAAAAGUUGAAAGACAUGCUGAUGAAAGAAUACUGUCCUCGAGGUGAAAUACAAAAACUCGAGCAAGAAUUCUGGGGUCUACAAAUGGUUGGAUCCGACAUCACUACCUACACAAAUAGGUUCUGUGAUUUGGCAAACUUAUGCCCUGAUAUGGUUGCUCUCCAGAGCAAAAAGAUCGAGAGAUAUAUCUGGGGACUGUCGCCCCAGAUCCAGUCAAGUGUGAUCGCUUCCAGGCCUAUUACCUUUGAUAGCGCCAAGGAACUGGCACAAUCCCUCAUCGAUCACCGGAAACCUCAGAACCCAAUAAUCCCUACACCCGUACCCCAAAAGUCCGACCCCGACAACAACAAGAAGGGGUGGAAUAAGAGGAAAAGAGGGGCUUCGCAAGGAUCCUCCAGUAAACAACAACGUGUGGCGAUCAAUGAUGCCACAGUGACUCAUGUUGUCCCUGCAAACCCCUUACCAGCAAAAACUUAUGCUGGAACUCUUCCGAAGUGCAACAAGUGCAGCUUCGACCACCACGGACCUUGCAAGGAGAUGUUCUGCUCUAACUGUAAUAGGAAGGGGCACACCACCCGUUUCUACAAGGCUCCAACGGCUCAUGCUGCCCAAGCUCCUAACGCUGGUAUGGGCCAAACUUACUACGGUUGUGGCGAAGUGGGCCACUACAAGAGGAACUGCCCUAAAGCAGGAAUGGCUGGAGGAGUAGGAAGAGUUAUGGCCCUAGGCCACAAGGAAGCAGUAGCUGAUCCUACGAUAGUUACUGGUACGUUCCUCCUUGAUAACUCAUAUGCUUGCAUACUUUUCGAUAGUGGAGCCGAGAAAAGUUUUGUAAGUCACAAAUUUGCACACCUGCUUAAACAAAAACCAUGUUCAUUAGAUAAUUCAUUCACGGUAGAAAUGGCUAACGGGAAAACAGAGAGCACAAACUGCAUAUACGUAGGUUGUCAUCAGUAUGGAUUGGUUGAGUCGUCUUUGUGUCGAUAUUAUGUGCUUCGAAAAAGCAGUUCGUCUUAACCUUCCUAACAACAAAACCUUAGUUAUCUACGGCGACAAACCUAGUACGAGCCUUCGCAUCAUUUCGUGCAUUCAAGCUCAGAAGUGCUUGCGCAAGGAGUACCAUGCAUUUCUCUCACACGUCGUCGAUACUAGUCAAGAACUGGAAGACAUACAGAAUAUCCCAAAAGUACGCGACUUUCCUGACAUAUUCCCAGAAGAACUUCUCGGUUUACCACCACAACGCCAAGUCGAAUUCAGAAUCGACUUAGUGCCAGGGGCUACCCCCGUAGCUAAAUCUCCUUAUCAUCUGGCACCGGCUGAAAUGCAGGAACUUUCCAGUCAACUUAACGAACUUCUCAAGAAGGGAUUCAUUCGACCAAGCUUCUCACCAUGGGGAGUACCGGUCUUGUUCGUCAAGAAGAACGAUGGAUCGUUUCGCAUGUGCAUCGACUAUAGAGAACUCAACAAACUUACCAUUAAAAAUCAUUAUCCCUUGCCCCGCAUUGACGAUUUGUUUGAUCAACUUCAAGGAGCCAACUACUUCUCGAAGAUAGAUCUGCGAUCCGGAUAUCACCAACUAUGAGUGUUAGAGGAGGAUGUACCCAAGAUAGCCUUCCGAACUCGUUAUGGGCACUACGAGUUUGUAGUGAUGCCAUUCGGAUUAACUAACGCGCCCGCAGUAUUCAUGGAUCUGAUGAAUAGGGUGUGUCGUCCUUACUUGGAUCAGUUCGUCAUCGUCUUCAUUGAUGACAUACUCAUCUACUCUUGAAGUAAGGAGGAGCAUGGUCAACAUCUCCGUAAAAUCUUAGAAACAUUGCGAGCGGAGAAGCUCUACGCGAAGUUCUCAAAGUGCGAAUUUUGGAUUCGGCGAGUCGAAUUUUUGGGCCAUGUGGUUAGCGAAGAAGGUAUACACGUGGACCCUUCCAAAAUUAAGGCCAUCGAGAACUGGUCAGCACCAAAGACACCUACUGAAAUUCGUCAAUUUCUAGGUCUAGCUGGCUACUAUCGCAGGUUCAUUCAGAACUUCUCCAGCAUAGCGAAACCUCUUACAACCCUGACCCAGAAAGGCGUG